RNAcentral lists this long non-coding RNA (50039 nucleotides) under Durio zibethinus. RNAcentral describes it as "long non-coding RNA (DZIB_LNC000442)". Lineage: Eukaryota; Viridiplantae; Streptophyta; Magnoliopsida; Malvales; Malvaceae. The record is from RNAcentral.
GCAAGGGUCGACAGUCAGGCUGCAAAUUGGUGCGCGGGUUACUUUCUACUGGGUUCAAAACUUCAAUUCUUUUAGUUACCAUAACACUGUCGUUUGGAGCUCAGCAGCAAAACACUUUUUCUCGCCGCUGUAUAGCUUCAACUUUAUCCUUUCUCUGCAGUCAAACUUUUAAAGCACUCUCUACCAGGCAAACAAGCCAGCUAAAACCUAAAACCAGCCAAACACUAGACCCAAAUCCCAACAGAUUAACACUGUCGCCACCGCCUUCUCCUUUUCUUCGUCGAUUGAAACCCAGCUGCAACCCGGCCCUCCACGAGACGUCGCCACUACUUCGUGCUGCCGUAGCUGACGCCAAAACCAAAACAGCAGCCUUGCCCGAUUCCUUUUUGUCCUCUUUAUACCCGAAAUCCAGCAGAAAAAUCUUUGGCCAAUUUCUGUUUCUUUGCAAUUUCGGGCUGGUAAUUGGGUUGUUUGUGAUGCUGAAUUUGCUUGAAUGUUCACCUUCUGUUUGAUGAUUGUUUGAUCUUGCUUUUUUUGCAUGUUGGCUGGAAAUUGAAUUCGGGUUUUCUGAAUUUGUAAAAUUUCUAAUAUUGGUUAGUUUCAGUUUGAAGCUACUGGGUAUGGGUUUGAAUUUUUGGGUAGGGAUUUCUCGAUUCUCUAGGUUGUUGCUAUUUGGGUUCCUGGAAUCUGGUUUUCUGGGUUAGUUGAAUUUUAUUGAGUUGAUUAUCUGAGUUGAGGCUCGUUGGGGAUUUUGAUUUUGGAGGAGUGUAUGGGCAAAGGUAGAUGAUGGGUGUGACCGGUUGCUGGUCUUCUUGCUUGUCAUCCUUUUGUUAUCUCCAAAGACUUUGCUUGAAAUUGCUUUUCUGUCGCUACUGUUGAUUGUUUUUAUUUUCUUUUAAAUCCCCUGCUGGAUUGCUGUUGACUUCUGUUUUGGCCUCAUUUCUGGAUUUCUUUUUUGUUGCUCUACUACUUCUUCGAUUUAUUUUUGUCUCUGGCCUUUGCUCGUGACUCUGUUUGUUGGUUUCGGGUUUACUUGUUUUUUCAAUUUUCCUGGAUUUAUUGAUGAACCAAAGCUUCUAACGUUUAGGGCUGGGUUUGUUUCAUGGAUUUUCUGUGUAUCUUUUCCACUGUCCUGCCGAUGGCCUCUCUGUUUAUAGGGAUUGAAUCCCUUUUAAUUUGGGGAAAAAAAUCAAUCGAAUGAAUGUGUUUUGAUUUCUGGUGAUUUGAUUUUGCAUGAAUUGAGCCCAAAAUCAUCAAAUUAUGAAUUUCCAAAUUUGGUCCAAGAUCUGUAUCUAUAAGUUUCCUCUUACUCAAUAAUCCCAUCUUUUCCCUAAUUUCUUUUUUUUUUUUUAUACUUUUUUUUGAACUUUGAACUUUUUUUUUACUUUUUAACCUUUUGAAAAAAAGUAACAUUAAAUCAAAAAUUAAAUUAAAUUAAAUCAAAUUAAAAAAUUUCUGUUGGUUUUAAAGUUUCACGAUCAAACCUAACUUACGAUUGAAGGUUUGCUGUGAUUUCGAAAUUUUUUUUAAACAAAAUAAGAUAUUUAUAGUUAUUUUUUUGUAAAUUUUUUGUGAAACAAAAAUAACAAUAAGAUAUAGAUCUUGUAACGAUUUUGAGGAUUGUUAAACGAAUUUGAAAAAUAAAAAAAAUGGAGUUGCUAUUAAUUUUUUUAGUUAAGUAUGAUUGGUCACUUAUUAAAAUUUAUUUUUUUAAUAAAAUUUUAAAAUUUAUUAAAAAGAUAAUUUUUAGUUUGCAAAAAUAAUUUGAGUUCGAGAAUCAAUUACAUGUGAAGAAAGAUUAGCAUUUUUACAAUUUUUGUUUUAAAAUGAUAUCAAUUAAUUAUGUAUUAUCUUUUAAUAUUGACUAAAACAGUUUUAAUUUUGGUAUUGAAAAAUUUAAUUUCUUUAAAACGUAUUUUUGAUUUUUCAGUAAGUUUGAAAAUAAAUAAGAAUUUUAUAUUGAAAUUUUUUAAAAAUAUUUUAAUAUUAUGAUAAUAUUAAAAGAAAUUAUCUCAUCUAAAAAUUUUUUAAAAAUUGUUAUUUGGAAUUUUUUAAAAUACUAUCAUUGAUGGUUUAUAUUUAUUUUCAUAUGAUAUUUAUAAUUUUAAAAACAAAUAGUAUUUUCUUAAAAAAUUUAUUGUUAUGCCAUUUAUAAAAAAAUGAUAAAUCUUUAUUGAAAUUUAUCUAAAUUUUUUAAUACAUUGGUGGUAUUUUAGAUAAAUUUUUUUACCUAAAGAUUUUUAAAGAAUCACUAUUCGAAUUUCUUUAAAAUUUUAUUUUCGAGAUUUUUUGUUUGUUUUUUUAUAAAAAUUAUUAAAGUCAUGUAAUAAUACAAUUAUCUAUAAAUACAUUUAUUCUUAAAAACAUAUUUUUAUUUAUUAAGAAAAAUUGUUCAAAUAAAAGAAAAUAAUUAAGAAAUGAAAAUUUUUAUAUUAAAAAGAAAUUUAUAAAUAUUUUAAUACUUUGAUAAUUUUUAGAAGAUUUUUUUCACUUAAGGAAUUUUUUGGAAUUACUAUUUGAAUUUUUUUAGAAUCUCAUCCUCAAAAAAAUAUGUAAUAAUAUUAUUAUUUAUGAACAAAUUUAUCUCUAAAAAUGUAUAUUUUCAAUAAAAAAUUACUUAAAUUAAAUAUAAUGAUAAAAUGAAAAUAUUUUGUAUUGAAAAGAAUUUUUUAAAUAUUUUAAUACUUUGAUAAUUUUUAGAAGGUUUGUCUCACUUAGAGAAUUUUUGAGAACCACUAUUUGAACUUUAUGAGAUUUUAUCAUCAUAAAUUUUAUUUACAUUUAAAAUUAUAUACUGCAAAUAAUCAAGUAGAAUAUGUAUACGAAGAACAUAUAUUGAUUAUGUUUUAAUCUUUUUUAUUUUUUUUUUCAAUUAUAUCUAAAAAUUGAAAAGAACAAAGUAAAUAAAAUUCUUAUUGAAAAUUUUUUUAGAUACCUCGAUACUUGGAUGAUAUUUUAGAAAAAAUUUUUCACUUAAGGAUUUUUGAAGAAUCUAUACUCAGAUUUAUUUAGAAUAUCAUUUUUGAAAAUUUCAUUGACUUUUUCUUUUUUUACUUAAUUAAUACUCUAAUUCUAAUAUUUAGUUUUGAUUAAAAUUUGUAAUAAAUAAAAUUAGUUGACCACAAUAUUAAUCAUCACAUAUUAUUUUCAAUUUACAAUAAUCUUAGAAAAAUAUAUAAACAAAAUUUUUUUGUAUUAAAUAUUUUCUUAAAUAUUUCAUUACUUUGGUUAUAUUUUUAGAAAAAUAUUUUCAUUUAGCGACUUUAAAGAAUCAUUACUCAAAAUUUUUUAAUAUUUCAUCAUCGGAUUAAAAAUUUUCUUUAUCCUUAUUAUUUUUUUAUAUUUUGUGAACAAUUACUAAGUAAUAAGCAUGAAAACCUUGCGUUUUUCUUCAUCUACAAGUGUAUUUUAAUAAGUAACUAUGGAUUCUCAAAAACAAACAAAAAAUACAAGGUAAUUAUUUGCAAAAUUUGAACAAAAUGAUAUGGAAACAACCCCCACCAAAUAGUACAUUCAUAUGGAAGAAAAAAGAAAUAUAAAUGACAUGCAAGUGAUGAAAAUGGAAGCUUCUAAACUCUCAUAAAAUCAUAGUAAAAUAACAUGAAAUUAAAUUAAAAUAACAAGUAAAUAGUAACCAAAACAAGCUCAAUAAACAAUAUAAAUAUAAAUAAGGGUUGGGCAAAAAAAAAAAAAAAAAAGCAAGUAGAACCAUAGUUAAGUGGCAAAAACAAAAAUCAAACAUUCAAGAGUCAAGCUAUUUUAAUGCCCAAUGAUGAACAAGAGUCUAUCCACUCAUCAAAAGUUAUACUUUUCAACAAGAAAUAAGCUCAAAGCAAAGUAAUUUAAACUUGAAAAAAAAAAAAAAACUAAGCUGAAUUGAAAACAUGAAAUUUCAUUGAUUAAGAUAUAGUAAACAAAGCUUAAAUGAAGAAUAAAAUGCAAGUGUUAGAAAAAUAAAAUAAAAUUGGAAUUAAAAGCAAUAAAAUGAAGACGAAAACAACUAAAAUGGAGUCAAGAAACCAAAGCAAAGUCAGCAAGAAUGUUACCUGUUAUGGUGUCAUUUACAAAGAAGAACAAAAAAUGCAAAAAUGAAAAAAUAACCACAAGUUUCAACUCUCCUUUUUUUGGCAAACCUUCUCCCUUUUUUAAGUCCUGCCCUCUCCUUUCCACUGCCUCUUCAUUAUUCUUUCGCAGACCUUCUCCCUAGUUAUUCGGCCAACUCCUCUCUUUUUCUCUUUUUUUCCUUUCUUUCUUCUCUAUUUGACUUUUUUUUUCAACAGUUUCUUUUUCUUUUUUUUACAUGUUUGGCUCUUUUCCAGCCUUCCUCUUCCCCUCUUCCCUUUGACCGAACCCUUUCUUCCAUUUUAAUAGUCAGCAUUCAAAAAAAAUCUCAUUUUUGAUGAAUAUAGAGCUUUGGAUGAAAUCUCAUCCAAAGGUCAAAACUUGUCUUUUUGUUCUUUUUAAGGAACUAUCUUUGGUCAUAGGAUCAAGAUUAAUAAAAGAUGUAAUGAUCUAUAUUAUUAACUGCAAAUGUUGGAUUUUUAUAUCCAAACACAUGAAAAGAUUAUUUUACCCAUAGUACAAAGUUUUUAGUAUUUAUGUUAUUUUCUUAUAAAUCAAUGUUUUCAUGCUCAUUUUUGAGAUUUUAAAACACCAAAAAUUAUGAAAUAUUAUAAAAUUGAGAUCUGAAAAGUUUCAUGAAAAUCCAAGCUCAGAAAGAUUAAAUUACGAAAAUACCCCUAUAGGGUUAUUUUGGUAAUUUCACACUUCUUGAGGUACGGUUGUGAUUUUAAAUGCAACAAAAUCAUGAAAUAUUAUGAAAUUAAAAUUUAAAAGUUUUAUGAAAACCCAACCAUGGGAAGGUUAAAUUACGAAAAUAUCUUUUAUAGGUGUAUUUUGGUAAUUUUAUAUUUCUCUCAGUGCAACAAAAAUUUUUAGUGUUUUUAAAAAUCACCAAAUUUUAUUUUAAACCACAUUGAUUUCAAUUAGGCUUUGAACUUUGAAGAUUAACCCUAGUUCUAAUUUUUUUGGAUCAAGUUUUGUGUAAUUUUGACUUGAGUUGAAUUUAGGGUUUACUCGUUUCAUCUAUUUUUUUAUUUUUCAUACAUUCAUGUGAAAAAGGGUAUCAUCCAUAUAAAUUCCAUGUGAAAGAGUUUGGCAGUAAUCAUACGAGUUUCCUUUUUCUUUGUUUAUUAGGCCUAAAUAUUGAUAUAUUUUAUGGAAGGGGCAUUUUUAAAGGUUUCAAAUGAGCUUUGUUCAAACAUGCUAAAGUAUUUCGAACAAGAUUCGAUGUCUACAGUUGUCCUUCUUGUAUAUUUUUGAGAAUAAAAAAUAAUACAAUGAUAUAGACAAUAAUUUUGUCCGAAUCAUGCUUCUAAGAGAUUUUUUUUGUUUAUUGUUUUUUUUUUAAAUCUUGUUUGAAAAUUACUCAUCCUAAAUAGGCGCUUUGAAACUUUGGAAAUGGCUCCCCUAAUCAGAAGUUUUGAAACUUUAAAAAUGGCUCCCUAUAAACAGAGGUUUUGAAAUUUUAAAAAUUUAAAAGGUUUUACCUAGAGGGCAGAGAGAUUAUGUCCGAAGGUCUUACAAAUCUUAAAAAUCUUUUAAUGCUCUUCGAGGUGUUGAAACUUUGGAAAUUUAAAAUCUUUUACUCGAAGGUCUUGGAAAUUAUGCUUGAAAGUCUUAGAGAUUAUACCUGGAAGUUUUACAAAUCUCAAAAAUCUUCGAAUGUUUCUCAUAAUAGAGGAAUUGAAACUUUAAAAAUUUAAAAUCUUUUGCCCAAAGGUCUUGGAAAUUAUGCUCGAAGGUCUUAGAAAUUAUGCUUGAAGGUCUUAAAGAUUAUCCUUGGGGGUUUUACAAAUUUAAAAAAUCUUUGAAUGCUCAUCGUAAUAGAAGUGUCAAAACUUUAAAAGUUUUUAUUUGAAAAUGGCUUCCCUCUAAUUAGAGGUUUUGCAACGUAAGAGGUCUUGUUUGAAAAAAGUUCCUCCUAAACAGAGGCUUUGAAACUUUAAAAUCUUGUUUUUCUUUUCUCUUUUUUUUUUUUUAUUUUAAUUUGAAACUAGUGUGGAAAUGACUCAUGAUGUGAUGGCUAAAGAGUUUCACAAGUUGUGAUUAUUUCAAAAUCAUUUUUCAUACUUCAAUUUUUUAUUUAAAUGAUUCUUUCUUUCUUUUUUAAAUAAAGUUCAAAAUUUUUUGAAGAAUAUAUUAAAUGCAAUUUAUAAAUGCAAUAAAUGUAAUACAUGUAAUGUAAGUAUUAUUAAAAGCCAGUAUGACACAUCUAAAUUGUGGUAAUCAAGGUUCUUUAAGUCAAUCUUUUCUAAUUUUUAUUUCUUCCAAAACAACCAAUCUCAAUCCCAAUUUGCAUAUUCUAGGAAUUACUUUUUUGUGAACUACGAUGAUCAUUUGCUAAUAUCCUUAUCCAACACUACUUCCAACAAGUUUUUAAUUUGAUUUGAUGAACAUGUGUUUUUCCAAAUCUUCAUUUUUUGUAUUUUUUUUUGUUUUUUUUGGUUUUUUUUUUUACUUUGUUAUCCUUAAUUUUUACAAAAUAAUGUAAAACCUUUUACGAAUAUUAUCAAUCAUUUAUCGUAUUCCAAAUUUCAUGAAUAAUGUAAUGAAUUAGUGUUUCCUCUAUUUGAAAAAUGAAGAUUAUCAAAAGCAAGGUAAAUUAGAGAAAGUGAAUAUUUAUUUAUAGAAAGGUAUAAGGACGUGUCUAGUGGGAAGUUUGGACAUUAGUUUAAACAAAAGAAUUGUAUUCAAACAAUGAAUAUUCAAAUAAUCAUGAACAAUAUUUCAAAAUUUUUCCUCUUAAAAGCCCAUAUUAUUAAUGCACCUGAUCUUUUCGUAUUCAUUGUAUUGGACCUUGCCCUCUGUACUUGGAUACUUGAUUUGCAUCUAAGUCACCUUUUUAAGUUUUUAACUUAGAUCUUUCCUUUUGUCUCAAAUUGCCUUUUUGAGUUUUCACUUAUGAGUCUUCUUCAUUUUUUUUCUUUUUGUUUUUAUUUUUUUAUUUUCUUUAGUUUUGGUUUUUUUUUUCUCAGGCAAAGUAUUUUUUUACAACAUUCGAAUUUAUUGAGUUUGGCAAGUCAUCCCUAUCCAUUUUUUGCCAGGAUUAGUGGUUUCACCCAAAAGGCCUUUUUGACUACAUAUAAACCCUCCAAUUUGGCAUUCAUUUUCCUCGAUUAUCAUGCUGAAUCGAAAGAAUUUUCUUUAAAAUCAAUUCUCCUUUACGAAAAUGCCUACAUUGAACUCUUUUGUCAUGUGCUCGCGUCAUUUUUUUUUGUACAACUGAUCAUGAAAAAAGCUGUGAGCCUUUUCUCUUCAAUGAGGUUCAGUUGUUCGUAGCAAUUUCGGACCCAUUAUGCUUUCUCUAAUCUACUUCCAUUAAUAUCUUAAAAAAAAAAUCUCCACCUCGAUUGGUAGCACAAUUUUCAUCUCAUAUAUAAGCAAAAAAAGAGUGGCCCUAGUAGAUGUAUGCACUGAUAUCUUAUAAGCAUGUAGUGGAAAGGUAACUUUUUAUGUUAGUCUUUAUAAGUAUCAGUCAUUUUUUCUAUUAUCCUCUUGAUAUUUUUAUUAGCAACUUCAACUACUCCAUUCAUCUUUAGGUGAUAUGAAACUGAAUUAUGGUGCGUUAUUUUAAAUUUAGCACAAACAUAUGCUAACAUCUUGUUAUUUAAAUUACGAGCAUUGUUAAAAAUGAUCAUUUUGAAAGGUCAUAUCGACAUAUUAUCUCCUUUUUAUAAACUUGCAUACCGCUACCCUUGUCGCACUAGCAUAAGAAGCUACUUUGAUUCAUUUUGUGAAAUAGUUGAUCACUACAAAGAUGAAUUGAUGUCCAUUUGAAGCUUUUGGAGUGAUGGGUCUGAUUACUUCCAUCCCCUACAUAAAAAAUGGUCAUGUAGGUGUGAAAACAUGUAAAGGGAUUGGAGGAGCAUAAAUUUUAUCUGCAUAAAUUUGGCAUUUAUGGCUUUUUUUUUUGGCAUAGUUGAUACAAUCAUUCUCCAUUAUCAACCAAUAAUAGCUUGCCUUUAUGAUUUGUCUGGCCAUUAUGUGGCCAUUUGCAUGUGCUCCAUAAGUCCCUUCAUGCACUUCUUAGAGUAUUUUCUUGGCCUUAAUAGCAUUCACACAUCUUAAUAACAUUUGAUCCUGACUUUUCUUGUACAAAAUUUCUCCAUCAAGGAAUAAACCUAUAGCCAAUCUUCUAAUAAUUCAUUUGUCAUUUUUCGACGCAUGUUUUGGGUAUUGUUGGUACUUGACAUAUUGCAUGAUAUCAUCAUAGUACCAAGGUAAGCCAUCAAUCUCUUCUUCAACAAUUGAACAAUAUGCUGGUGAUCCUUGCACAUUUAAAUAGAUAGGUUGGAUUUUCAUCUUAUCACCCAUUUUAAACAUUGUAGCUAAUAUAGCUAGAGCAUCAACCAUUUGAUAAUCUUCUUGAGGUAUAUGACAAAAUUGGAUAUUUUCAAAUUAUUUGAUCAAAUCUACUACAUACUUUUGGUAUUGUAGCAAUUUUGAAUCUCUUGUUUCUCAUUCAUCACGUAGUUUAUAGAUUACCAAGGUCGAGUCUCCAUAGGCUUUUAACAUUUCAAUUUUCCUUUCAAUUGCCAUUUGUAGGCCCAUUAUGCAUGCUUUGUAUUCUGUCACAUUGUUGGUGCAAUUAAAAUCUAGCCUUGUAGUGCUUGAAUAAUAAUAUCCAUAAGGGGACAUCAAAAUUGCCCCAAUCUCAUACCCCAAAGCAUUCAAAGCUCCAUCAAAGAACAUUUUUCAUGGCUUUUAGAUUGGUUCCUUUUCUUCCACUUGGGAUAUGGUCAUUAAAUCUUCGUUAGAAAAGUUCAAUUUCAUAGGCUCAUAAUCAUUAGUUGCAUGCUCUACAAGGAAUUUAGCUAUCACACUUCUUUUGAUCGCUUUUUGUGACAUAUACAAUAUCAUAUUCAAAAAGCAUGACUUGCUAUUUUGCUCACGUUCUUGAAAAUGAUGGCUUUUAAAAAAUAUACUUAAGAGGAUCCAACAUUACUAUUAACUAAGUAGUAUGGUAUAGCAUAUAUUGCUUGAGUUUAUGGGCUAUCCAAGCCAAUGCACAUUGCAUUUUUUUUCAAUUGAGAAUAUUUAGACUUAUAUUCAGUGAACUUCUUACUUAAAUAAUAAGCAGCUUGCUCUUUUUUGCUCGUUUCAUCUUGUUACCCCAACACACAAUCUAUAGAACGAUCAUACACCGUGAGAUAUAAAAUCAAUGGUUUCCCUGUAGGUGGUACUAACGCUAGAAGAUUUGACAAGUAUUCUUUAAUCUUUUUAAAGGUAUACUGACAUUCCUCAUCCUAUUUUCUUGGAUUAUGUUUCUGAAGCAACUUGACAAUUGGGUUACAUUUAGAAGUAAGUUGAGAAAUAAGGCAGGAAAUGUAAUUCAGCCUUCCCAGAAAACCCCUUACUUCUUUUUGCGUAUGGGAGAUAAGUUUUGGAAGGUAAGUUUUUUAUUUGGAUCAACUUCAAUAUCCCUUUCACUAACUAUAAACCUUAACAAUUUUCUUGACUUAGUACCAAAUGUGCACUUUAUUAGGUAUAGCUUGAGUUGAUAUUUCUACGAUCUUUCAAACAAUUUUCUACAAUAUGUAACAUGGUCUUCUCCCUCAUGAGAUUUUGCAAUCAUGUCAUAUAUAUACAUCUUUAUUUCUUUAUCCAUCAUGUCAUGAAAAAGGGUUACCAUAACUUUUUGAUAACUAGCUCAUGCAUUUUUUAACCCAAAAGGGAUAACUUUAUAACAGAAUGUGCCUACAUGGUAACAAACAUAGUUUUUUCCAUAUCAGUAGGGCUAUUUUAAUUUGGUUAUAUCCAAAAAAACUAUCCAUGAAAGAGAAUGUGGAAUGUUUAAUAGUGUUAUCCACGAUAGUGUCAAUGUGGGGUAAAGAAAAACUGUUUUCAGGCUGACUUUAUUCAAAUCUCUAUAGCCUAUGCAUAUCUAAACUUUUUCAUCUUUCUCGGGAAUUAGAACCACAUUAGCUACCCAUUUCGGAUAUUUGGCUACCUCUAAAAAGCCUACAUCAAAUUGCUUUUUUGCUUUUUCUUUGAUUUUUAACAUGUCCAGCUUUAUGUGCCUCAAUUUUUGCCAUAUGAGUUUACAAUCUAGCUUCAAUGGCAAUUGAUGUUCAACAAUAUCUAAACUGAGUCCUAGCAUAUCUUGGUAUGACCAUGCAAACAUAUCAACAAACUCAUGUAACAAUUAUUUCAACCUCUCUCUUUUUGUGUGUGAAAAAAAUGUGCCCAUUUAAACUUCUUCUUAUUCUGCUCAUCACCUAAAUUAAUUAUACUUGUAGCUUUCGCAUGAGGUUCAAUUUGUUUCCUUUCUUGUUCUAUUAGUCUUAAUAAAUUAAGAGGUAAAUUUCUUCUUCUGAAUCCUCUUCAUUAUCGAGUUCAUUAAUGUGAAUAAGUUUUUAAAAGUCAAAUCUUGGAUUAUUGUCAUAAUUAUCUUUGUAUUCAUUAUUUGAAAACCUGAAAGUGGGUGAAAUUGAAAGGAUGUAGGCUUAUGUGUGGGGAAAAAAAGGAAAUUUUAACUUUGAAUGAAUGAAAAAAAUAUGGAAAUGCAAAUGCAAAACAUUAGUCAUUUUAUUGAAAUGAUAAAGGAAAGAUAAGCUCGUACAAAACUUUUUCAAAUGCUCUUAGGCAUAAGCAUUGGGAAAAAUUAACUCACUACAUUACUUUGUGAAAGAUUUAAGGAUAAUUGGCAACUUUAUUGAUUUCCAAUUGUUCAGCUUUUCACCCAGAAGACAUGGAUAAACACGAGGCUCAUUUUUCUGAUUGGAUGUUGCUGUAUCUCUCAUCAUAUAGAUAUGAAGUUCAGAAAAGGCUUCUUUUAUGUUUAACAUAGGUUCCUUUUGUGUGUCCUUCAGCAAAUUAUGGUGGAUAUAUCUGCCUAAGCGAAAUGUGUCAUAUAGGUAAGGGAUGAUCAUUCUUGCAUACUCAACUCAUGUCUCUUAAGUCAUGCCAGUUUUUUCUCUCUCUUUUUCAACCAUGUGUAAACACCAAAUUUUGUUCAAAACAUUUUUGCAUGGUUGAACAAAGCCCAUUUAAAACCAAUAAAAAGGUAUCUUCAAGAGUUCAUAAAAUACAUCGAUAUUUAGGUCUAAUGAUGUAUGAAAAAUAAAGAAUAAAUAAAACGGAUAAACCUACAAAGUCAACUUUGGUCAAAAUUAUACAAAACCUAGUCAAAAUGAAUAGAAUUUGGGUCAAUCCUUAAAAUUCACAACCUAAGUGGAAUCAAUGUGGUUUUAAAUUAAAUUGAUGAUUUUUAAAAUUCUAAAAUUUUUAUUGUACUAGGAAAAAUGUGAAAUUACCAAAAUAUCCCAAUAUGGGUAUUUUUGUAAUUUGGUUUUCUGAGCUUGAAUUUUCAUGAAAUUUUUAUAUCUUAAUUUAAAAAUAUUUCAUGAUUUUUGGUGCAUUUGAAAUCACAACUAUACCUUGAAAAGUGUAAAAUUAUCAAAAUACAUCUAUAAGAGUAUUUUUAUAAUUUAUCUUUUUCGAGCUCGAAUUUUCAUGAAACUGUUCACAUCUUAAUUUUGUAAUAUUUCAUGAUUUUUGGUGCAUUUGAAAUCAUAGAAAACCUCAAAAAAUGUAAAAUUAUUAAAAUACCAUUAUGUGGGUAUUUUCGUAAUUUGACCUUCAUGAGGUUGAUUUUCAUGAAACUUUUUAAAUUUAAAUUUUACAAUAUUUCAUCAUUUUUGUGUUUUAAAAUCUAAAAAAUGAGCAUGAAAAUCUUGAUUUCUAAGAAAAUAGCCUAAAUACCUAAAACUUUGCAUUAGAGAUAAACUGGUAUUUCAUGUGUUUUGAGGAUAUAAAAAUCCAAUCUUUGUAGUGAAAUAAUGUGAAUCAUUAGAUCUUUUAUUGAUCUUAAUCCAACUGUCAAAGGUGAUUCAUUGAAAGGAAUAAAAAGAUAACCUUUGACCCUUGGAUGAGUUUCAUCCAAGGGUUUAUAUUCAUCAAGAAUUAUAUUUUUUUUAGGAGCUGACUAUUAAAGGGGGCUGGGGGUUCAGUUAAAGGGGAAGAGAAGGAAGGCUAAAGUUCUAGAAAGGUGGGAAAAAAAAAGCCAAACAUUUAAAAAAAGAGGGAAAAACUGUUAAAAAAAAUGAAGAAGCCAAAUAGAAAAGAAGAAGGAGAAGGAGAAAAGAAAAAUGGGGGCUGCCAGAAGAAAGGGGCUUUUGAAAAAUGCUAGAGAUGAAGCUACCGAAGGAAGAAAAAAGAAGAAGCUACCAAAAGGAAAAGGGAUGAAGCUGUCAAAAGGGAAAGUGAGGAAGUACGCAAAGGUAGAAAAUGGUUUUAAGUUAGCUUUCUUUGUUCUUUCAUGCGACAUGAAUUAAUUAUUUAUUUUUGUUUUUUAGCUGUUGCAGUGUUUUCAUUUAUAUAACUUAUUGUUGACUAAAUUUGCUUCUUUUUCUUUACACAUCAUAUGCAUUUUCAGAUUGAUAUCAUGAAAGUUAUGGUCAACACAUUUCCAAGUUGAUUUAUUUGAUGUUAUGUUAUACUGGUUCAGUGAUCUUUAGAUAUUCAUUGAAUCUACUGGUUCUUAUGGUGUGAUGAAUAUCAUGGGAAGGCUAGAAUUUUUUUUUCUAUUUUGGUUUUUUAUUUGUUAAUAGUACUGUUUCACCUAACUCAAAGUCAUGUCUUAUUUUUCUUUUGGAUUGUUCACAACUUUACAAAGGUUUGACAAGAUGCUAAAAUUUUUACAAUAGGGCUUAUUUCCAUGUAUGUUUUAUAUCAUCAUUCAUAUUUCUCUAAUGUUGUUUCAAAUAUGAUUAUAAUUUAAAUCCCAUGCAUUUUUCUUUCAUCGCUAGUUUCGUUAAAUUUCUAUGUUCACUUUAAUUUUUAUGCAAUUUAGUUUUUACACCUUAAUUUAUUUUAAAUGCAAAUUUGUACUUCAUUUAUAAAAUAAUGAUAUGAAUGAAAUUAUAUGAGGAUGAUAUUUUAGAGAAAUCUGAGUAUGAUUCUCUAAAAUGUCUAGAGCGGGAUAUUUUUCUAAAAAUGCUACCAAAGUAAUAGUGUAUUUGGGAAAAUAUCCAAUACAAAAAAGUUUAAUUUGUCUAGUUUUCUAAAAUUUUUAUAGAGGUUAGUAAUAGUGUGUAAUGACUCUUUUAAUAAUGAAAUUGAUAUAAUUAAAGUUUAAAAAUUAGAAAAAAAAUUAUAAUUAAUUAAGAAAAGACAAAGUGAAUAAAAAUUUUCGAGGAUAGGAUAUUAAAGAAGUCCGAGUAUAGAUUCUUAAGAAAUCCCUAGGUAAGAAAAUUUUUUUAAAAUAUUACCAAAGUAUCGGGGUAUCUAGGAAAAUUUUCAGUAUAAAUUUUAUUUGCUUUGCUCAUUUCAAUUUUUAGUGCCAAUUGAAAACAAGUAAAGAGAAUUAAAACAUAAUUAAUAUAUGUUUUUGUAUGCAUAUUCUACUUGAUUGUUUGCAAUAUCUAAUUUUAAAUACAAAUGAAAUUUUUUAUGAUGGGACCUCAAGAAGUCUAAGUAGUGAUUUUCGAGAAUUUUUUAGGUGAGAAAAGUCUUCUAAAAAUUGCCAAAGUAUUGGAAUAUUUAGAAGUUUCUUUUUAAUACAAAAAAUUUUCAUUUUAUCAUUAUUCUUAAUUUGAUUAAUUUUUUAUGAAAAUAUACUUUUGGAAAUAAAUUUGUUUAUAGAUAAUGAUGUUAUUACAUGAUUUUAAAGUAAAAAAACUCUGAUGAUGAGGCUCUGGGAAGUUCGAGCAUUCUUGAGAAUUUUCUAGGUGAGAAAAAGUCUUUUAAAAAUUGUCAAAGUAUUGAAAUAUUUAGAAAAAUUUUUUUCAAUAGGAAAAAAUUUUCAUUUUAUGAUUAUUUUCUAUAAUUUGAAUAAUAUUUUUUUAAUAAAUAAGAGUGUUUUUAAGAAAUAAAUAUAUUUAUGGAUAAUUAUACUAUUUCAUGAUUUUAAAUAAAAAUAAAUAAAAAAUCUCCAAGGAUGAUAUCCUAAAGAAGUCUGCGUAGUGAUUCUUUUAUAAAUGGCAUAGAAAUGAGUUUUUUAAAAAAUGCUAUUUGUUUUUAAAAUUAUAGAUAUCAUAUUUUAGUGAAAUAAAUACGAACCAUUGGUGAUAGAAUUUUUGAGAAUUUCGAGUAAUAGUUCUUAAAAAUUUCUUAAGUGAGAUAGUUUCUUUUAAUAUUUUCAAAGUAUUGGAAUAUUAUUAAGAAUUUUUCAAUAUAAGGUUCUUAUCUAAUUUUCAAGCUCACUAAAAAUUAAAAAUAUGUUUUUAAAGAAAAUUAAGGAAAUUAAUUUUUUAAAUACCAAAAUUAAGACCAUUUUAGUCAUAAUUAAAGGAUAUCACAAAAUUAAUUGGCACCAUUUUAAACGAGCGUCGUGGAGGUGCUAAUCUUUUUCACGCGUAAUCGACUCUCGAACCUAAACUGUUUUUUUGCAGACCUAAAAAUUAUCUUUUUAAUAAAUAUUAAUUUUUAUUAAAAGGAUAAAUUUUAAUAGGUGGUCAAUCAGCCCUAGCCAAAAAAAAUUGGUGGCGACUCCAUUUCUUUUGUUUUUCCAAAUUCAUCUAACAGUCCCCAAAAUCAUUACGAAAGCUUGGUGACUCCACUGAGAACAUAAUUUUUUAGGGAGUCAGGCCAAAAAUUAAUAAUGUGUUAUCUUUAAUUUUGAUUUAAUGGUCUUAAUUGGUUUUUAACUUUAAUUUUCUUAAUUUUAAUUCUUUCUAAUAAUAAUAAUAACAGUGGUAAUAAUAAAAGGAAAAUGAAAAAUUACAUUUCACCCAUGUCAUUUAUUUAUUAUUUGCUCUUUUAUUUUAAGCUUCGUAUGUACUAUAAUUGUUAUUAUGAAGUGUUUAGAAUAAGAUUAUCAUACUUUGUUCCCUUGUUCACACAUGACACAUUCACAUCAUGGAUGAGCUCUAUGCCCAGGCUCCGACCCUUUUAAGAGGGAGUAAAGUAUCUAUGCUCUUAUAAGGUGAUAACCUCUGCAAUGAUAAGCAAAAUACUUCCACUAAAAUUGAACACUUUUCUUUUGUAGCCUGUAAUGGGUGAAGAUCAGGGUGCUUUACUAGUCAAGAAUGGAUGAAAAUAAGGAAUAAUUUGGAGACCUUUAGAUGAAAAUCAAUUCGAACCCAGCAUAUAGUAAACCAUAAGAGUCAAGCUGAGGUAGAGCCAUAUCCAUAUUUUUCAUAGACUGUUUCCAUGAAUUGGAAUAAAAUGGAGGAGCAUUUGUGUUAUGGUUUUUUUUUUUUUAAAGAAAAUCAUAAAUUUAGGCAUUCAUAUUUGUUUUGACUUAAAAAAAAUACAAUAAGAUCUUUGUCUUAUUUCCUUUUCCAAGAAAAAAUUUUCCUUUUGGUUCUUUUUUUUUUAAAGCUUUUACUUUUUAUUUUUCUUUUCCUCUCUCUUUCGUACUAACAACUUUUUUUUUUUUUUGCAUUAAUUAAAUAGGUAUGGUACAAUAAUAUAGUGAGGUAUUUGCUCCAAGACAUUUUUUAGCAAAGUUUUUUUUCAUGGAUCCCAUAGUAUUACAGAUCUGCUUUUCUUUUGUAAUUGCUUUGUGUAAAUUGUAUAAUGAGGUGCAUGAAUGGUCUACAAGAACUCAACAAAGGGAGGGAGAUUGUUUACCUAUUGGUUUCAUGUCAGGGUUACCAGAAAAAAUGCAUUUGAGUCUAAUCUAGAAUAACUUGAAAGAUUUGGCUACCAUAUGAAAUUAGAUGGGUGAAGUUAGGAAGGAAAAGUUUUGUGAAAGAUAUGGGCAGAUUGUAUUUCUUAUCUCAGUAAUGAUUGAGGAACAUUUUAUUCGAGCAGCUAUUCAGUUUUGAGACCUAUCGUACAUAUGUUUCAUAUUUAAUAAAGUGAAUUUAACAUCGAUCAUUGAAGAAUAUUCGAUUUUAGUAGGAUUGGAAUGGUAGUACCCUGAUAAGAUAUAUGACAGAAAACUAAAAUUAGGAUACCUUAAGAAGAUAGCUAAAUUGAUAGGAAUGAAGGUAGAGGUUGUGGAUGCUUUGACUAAAGACAAAGGUAAAUGUGUCGACUUACCUUGGCAUUUCUUUCGUGAUUUUAUCUUAGGACACUUAAAAGAUGAUUAAGGCAUGGCAAUGUUUUCCCUAGCAAUUUACAGUAUAAUGUUCUUUUCAAAAACUUUGGGAUAUAUUGAAUUGGUAGUAGUUGAUCUAUUUGAACAAAUAAAAAUUAGGCAAUUAAUCACAUUAUAGCUAUCCUAGCUAAGAUUAUCAGAUCAUUAAACUUUUGUCGUUAGAACAGAGUAUGUUUCACAGUGAGUGCACAGUUACCAUAUGUUUGGAUAAAAAGCCUUUUCAGAUGUAAGAAAAGUACUUUUUCCAAGCGGUAUCUUCAAAAUAGAGCCAUAGUCAAAGAAUUUUAUGAGUCAGUGGCCAACAUUGAAAUCUAAAAAAGAGUGGGCAGCAUUCAUUUAAAGGUUUAUUAAUGAUCAGGUCAAAUGGAUAGCAGCAUGGAUGCCUCAUGUGCCAAUGUUAUACUGGUGUGGAGAUGACCCAUGGGUAUUACUUUUGGGAUUGUGGGGAGUGGUAAGUUAGCACCAUUAAUGGUGUUAAGGCAAUUUGGUGUGAAGUUGUUUGUCCCUGCCACGCAUAGACUUACCCUAGUAGAAUUUGCUUAUGGAGAAGUAGGCUCAUUAAGAAUAGCAAAGUAGUUAGUUCAAGUAUGGAGAAGACUCGAAGGCUAAGAUUAGAACCUAUUCUUGACAAAGUCACCCCCGAUUACUUGAUUUGGAAAGCAAAAUGUUCUAAAGAUAUUGUGCUCUUUCCAAAUGAUUUCUUAUUCCAACAAGUGAACCCAUGGGCAAAAGAACCAUUGUCAGAAGUUAAGCAAAAACUUGAAGCAAAAAAGAGAAAUUGAAAAAAAUUUUUUUGAGACUCUAAAAAGGGAUGGGACAAUUAAAAUAUGAAGCAAAAGCUGAAAAAGUAUACUAAAAAAGGUGAUACAAGAUUGGGAUGUGGCCUAAAAUGAUCUAAAGGAUUUGCAUCAAGAAAAUAAGAUGUGCACUCAAUUAAAAGAGAGGAUAGGCAUUGGAUUUGGUGUUAGGUAGCAAAGAGAAAUGAUUGAGCUUCGAGAAGAAAUGCAAUAUUAAAAGGACAAAGCCAAAGAAAAUGAGGAAAAAACCAUCUGGAUUUUUUUAGAACAAUAAGAGUGAGAAGGUUUGUACUCAACAGCUUCAACAAGAUUGAUGGAAUGCCAAAAGAAGAAUGCUAAAUUGAAGGCACAGAUUAGAGAUAAAAAAAGAAAACACUAUGAAAUGCAAAAAGAGAAAGAAUCACCAUGAAAAGUGAUUCAAAAGAUGGAACAACAAUUGUAAAACCCCAAAGACCAUAUUUCCACAAUCAUCAAAGAGUGGCAAAAUAGAUAAGCAGGUUGGAGAUACAUUUGCUAUCAUGAAGUGGAUGCUUGUAUAAAGUGGAAGGUAUAGAGUUUGGGAAGGCAACAACACAUAAAGCAUUUAGUUAGUCAAAUUGGAAAAAUAGUAAGGAAAACAAAGGAGAUGGUUGAAAGAGAGGAAACAUUAAUACAAGAAAUCAAUCCAACUAAAAGUUAUAGGCAACUUUUUUUGAACUUUUUAGUUGAAGCCAAGGAUCACUAUGAGCAAAUUAAAUGUUUCUAUGGCUACAACGCUAAAAUGAUAGGCUUUAUGUAAUUAGAAACUUGUUGGAAUCAAUAAAAAGUUCUAAUGUUUGAGAUAUGUCUUAGAGUAAAUACCUCCCAAUGCAUUCAUGCAUACAUUUUGCAUUUUUUCUCAAUAUUUUACCUCAUUAAAAUAAUAUUUUCAAAAUUAAAAUAAAAAUUGUUUGGCUUUCACAAAAAUUGUGGCAUCUUAAUUUUUCAAAUUGUGAUAAUGAAAGGUUUAAGGAUAGUUUAGCCAUUGAAAGUUCAAAAUUGAUCUGCUCGCCACCCAUACAAUACACAGUUACAAAUUAGAAUUAUAGAAAAAGAGCAAGAACCUAGGAUAGAGAAAAAUGAAAAAGGCUUAAGAAGAUAUAUGAGAAUGGAUAGUUAAAAUGUAAAAGGAAUUGCAAAGACAAAUGAUAAAGCUGAGGGAGUUAAUGAGGGGCAUGGACAAAGGGAAAGGUAUUGCUUAAGCCUCUGUUACAAGAGAGGAAAAUUGACACCAUGGAAGCAACAAUGUCAGAGAAGAGCCAUUUUAUCCACCUAAGUAUAUACCACCCCAUGCUUGAGCUCCUCAAUUGAUGUAUCCAUCACAUGUGUGCGGGGAACCUUAUCCGUUCUUAAAUUUGAACUUAUCGGUUAACCAAUAACCAAAUCAGGGGUAAUUCAAGCAUAAUCCAGGAUGUAAUUCGGUUGAUUCAAUUUUUGUUCCUAAUUUGGAUGAUCCUCAAGAAUAAGAAAAAUUAAGAGGCAUGUCUGAGUGAAGAGAAAAAAAAAAUCUAACACAAGUAUGACUUGCUAGAAGGGAGACUAAAAGCUAUGGAAGGAAGAGAUAUCUUUGACAUUAUUGAUGCAAAUGACCUCAAUUUGGUAUUGGAUCUAGUAAUUCCAUUGAAGUUUAAAACUCAUAAUUUUGAGAAGUAUAAUGGAACUAAAUGCCUAUUGACCUAUCUUACCAUGUUUUAUCGUAAGAUGAUAGGUCACAUCGACAAUGAUAAGCUUUUGAUCCACUAUUUCCAAGACAGUCUAACUGGGUCUGCAGUGAGGUGGUAUGUCCAAUUGGAUAGGAGUUGCAUACAUUUCUAAAUGGGCCUUGCUAAAGCUUUUCUGGGCCAAUAAAAGUAUGUAUUAUACAUGGCUCCUGAUAGAUUAUCACUGCAAAAUAUGAAAAAGAAGGCCAACGAAACUUUUAAGGAAUAUGCUCAUUAAUGGAGGGAUCUUGCCAUUCAAGUACAAUAAUCUUUAACCAAAAAAAGAGAUAACAUUGCUUUUUGUUAAUACUUUUAAGGCACUGUGUUAUGAUAAACUUAUUUGCAAUGCAAUGAAAAUUUUACGGAUAUGAUGAUUUCUAGUGAAAUGAUAGAAAGUGCCAUCAAGAGUGGUAAGAUCAAGACAAGUGAUGCAUCAAAUUCCAAAAAAGUAAUGCCACCUAAGAAGAAAUAUGAAAAGGCACAUGUUAUGGCCUAUAAGAAUCAACCACUUAGAAAUUUUGUCCUAUGUCACCGCUAGCCAACCUAUUCACCUUAUUAUGCCAUGACACAUAACAUUUCCUAAGGUCCAUAUCCGUAUAAACUGGUACCACCAUCAAGAUUCUAGCAAAGCUUUUGCCAUCAUAUGCCAACUUAUGCUCUCACACCUAUAGCCAACCAGUUGUCCAGUCAAAUAGUUUGACAAACAAUCCUAGAAGUUUAAGGGCCAGUCAGGAGAAAACUCUCUUUAAUCCCACUCUUAUGUCUUACACUAAUUUGUUCCCUCAAUUGGUAGCAAACCAUGUCAUUACACCUUGCCCCAUAGAACCGUUGAAGCCUCCAUACCUUAGAUAGUAUGAUCCAAAUGCUCAUUAUGAUUAUCAUGAUGGGGUUAUAGGCCAUUUCAUAAAAAAUAGCAUAGCUCUUAAGUAUAGAGUGCAGCACUUGAUUAAGAAAAGAUACAUAAAUUUUAACACUAGUGGAAAGCCAAAUGUUAAUGAAAAUUAUUUGCCAAACCACGUUGGGCCAACGAUCAAUGCAAUAGAUGGCAAUCUGAUAAGGCAUAUUAAAAGAAGUGUUGAUAAAGUUAAAACCUCGAUGGGUCAAGUGUUCGAAAACUUGGUUAAAGUUGACAUGUUUCACGUAAUUUUUUCAAAACAAGUGAUCUAUCAUGGAGACUUUGAUAUAGUUCAAGCAUGUGCCUAUCACAUGAAUAUGGUAAGACACUAAACUCAGAAUUAUGGUGUGUUUCACCAAGUGCUACAAAUAAUGAUAAAUUCAUCCUUGGUAGAGUUUUAUGAAGAGGAUGAUUAGAAUAUAGUGAAUGCAACAAAAUGAGGGUCUUCAGGGAAUAUGUCCUCUAAGUUUAUGCUUAAGUUGGCAAUGAUCUAUUGUAAUGAAAAAUCAAGUAAGGGCUAGGGCAAACUUUGAUGAAUAAAGCAAGAGAAGGAUCUUUAGAAAGUAUGUUCCCUAAGUUUGUGCCUAAAUCGAUAACUAUCUUUUGCAACCUAAAAUCAAGCUUGAUGAAAGAACAACCCAUUUCUUUUCCCAUGAAAUGUAUAACAAUUCGAGUCCCUAACCCAUUCCUCUUUCAGAGUAAUAAGGUAAUACCAUGAAAGUAUGAUUAUAAUGUCAUGGUAUAAGAAUCAAAUGAUUGUUAGGUUGUAAAUGACCCAAAUGCCAACAGUAUUGCAAAUAUAACUGAGGUAGGUGGAAUGACGAAGAGUGGAAGAUGUUAUACUCAAAUAAUAAAGAAGGCUCGAAAGGGCAAAGAAGAGAUGUUAGAAGAAAAAGAUAAGGCUCAUGUGGUAAUGGCUUAAGAUGCAUAAUAUAAAGAACUUGUCAUUGAAAAAGAAGCCUGUGUGUUCUUAGACUUGAUCAAACACAAUGAAUACAAUAUGUUAGAAUAGUUGAACAAGUUGCAUGCUCGAAUUUCUUUGUUGUCGUUAUUGAAUUUUAAACCACAUCAAAAUGCCCUACUGAGAGUGUUGAAUCAAGCACAUAUGGACUGUAAUAUUUUUAUUGAGAAUGUUGAUUAUAUUGUGAGGAGUAUUAUGGCUCCGAAUUUUAUAACUUUCAAUGAUGAUGAAAUUUCACUUGAAGGAUGGGGUAGUAGCAAGGCCUUUCAUAUCACUACUAUAUGCAAAGGCCACAUCAUAGCUAAGGUUCUUAUUGAUAAUGACUUUUCAAUCAAUGUCAUCCCCAUGAUUACCCUAAUAAAAUUACCUAUUAAUGUGUCACAUAUGAAGACCAAUCACAUCGUAAUGAGGGCUUUUGAUGGGUCUUGAAGGAAAAUGCUAGGAGACAUUGAAAUACCAGUGCAAAUAGAGCCAUGCAUGUUCUUUAUUAAAUUCCAAGUCAUAGACAUUUCACCAUUUUAUAGCUGCUUGUUAGGACGACCAUGGAUUUAUAUGACAAAAGCUGUCCUGUCAUCUUUACAUCAAAAAGUAAAGUUUAUAGUUGAGGAUAAAUUGAUUAGUGUUUUUAGAGAAGAAGACUUGUUGGUGACUAAGCACAUGACCACUCCACAUAUGAAAGUUACAGAGGGGGCAUUAGAGUACUCUUUUAGAUCUUUUGAAUUUAUUAAUGCAACUUAUGUAGAGGAGGGAUCAAAGGUGCACACUCUAUGCUUAUCAAAUACCACUGGGAUGGUUUUCAAGCAAACACUAGGUAAAUGAUGGCAUGUUGGAUAUAGACUUGGAAAGAAUUUGCAGGAGUCAAGAAGCCACCCAGAGUAUUUGAAAAUAGGGAAAGAUUUGAAGUGGGAUUUAAAGUCAUUCUAAUAGAAAGAAAGAAAGCCAUCGUUGAAAAGAAUUAGAAAAGACUGGCGUGGCUUAAAAGACAUAAGCUUGAGUAUGCAAGAAUGAUCAUCCCCUAUCUGUAUGAUACAUUUUGUUUAGGCAGAUAUAUCCACUCUAAUUUGUUAAAGGACACACGAAGGGAACCUAUAUUGAACAUGGAAUAAGCUUUUUUUUAACUUCAUAUCUAUAUGGUGAGAGAUGCAACAACAACAUUUUAAGGAGAUGAGCCUCAUGUUUAUCCAUGUCUUCCAUAUAAAGAGCUGAACAAUUAAAAAUCAAUGAGGUUGUUAGUUAUCUUUAAAUCUUUCACAAAGUAAUGUAGUGAGUUAAUUUUCCCCAAUGCUUAUGCCCAAGAGCAUUUUGAAGAGUUUUGUAUAAGCUUAUCUUUCCUUUAUCAUUUCAAUAAAAUGACUAGUGUUUUGCAUUUGUAUUUCCUGUGUUAUUUUUUUCAUUCAAAGUUACAAUUUUCUUUUCUUUUUCCUUUCCCACACGUAAGCCUACAUCUUUUCAAUUUCACUUAUUUUUAGGUUUUCAAAUAAUGAAUACAAAGAUAAUCAUGACGACAAUCCAAGAUUUGACUUUGAAAAACUUUUCACAUUGAUGAACUUGAUAAUGAAAAGGAUUCAGAUGAGGACAAUUUACCCCAUGAUUUAUUAAUACUAAUGGAACAAGAAAGAAAACAAAUUGAACCUCACGCAAAAGCUACAGGCAUAAUCAAUUUAGGUGAUGAAGAGAAUAAGAAGGAGGUUAAGAAGGGCACAUCCUUUUUACACACCAAAGAGGGAGGUUGGAAGAAUUACUUUGUGAGUUUAUUGAUGUGUUUGCUUGGUCAUAUUAAGAUAUACCAAGACUCAGUUUAGAUAUUGUAGAACACCAAUUGCCAUUGAAGCUAGAAUGUAAGCUAGUACAACAUAAAUUGAGGUGCAUGAAAUCAGACAUAUUGUUAAAAAUCAAAUAAAAAGUAAAAAAAACAAUUUGAUGUAGGCUUUUUGGAGGUAGCCAAAUAUCUGAAAUGGGUGGCUAAUGUGGUCCUAAUUCCCAAGAAGGAUAAAACAGUUUGAAUAUGUGUAAACUACAGAAAUUUGAAUAGAGUUAGCUUGAAAAAUAAAUUUUUUUAUCCUACAUUGACACUCUAAUGGUAACACUGCUAAACAUUCUACAUUUUUUUUCAGGCAUGGGUUUUUCUGAGAUAUAACCAAAUUAAAUAUGGCGCCCUGCUGCAUAUGAAAAAAAAACUACAUUUGUUACCAUGUGGGGCAACGUUCUGUUAUAAACUUAUUCUUUUUAGGUUGAAAAUUACAGAAGCUACCUUAUCAAAGAGCUAUGAUAACCCUCUUCCAUAACAUAAUGCAUAAAGAAAAUAGAGGUGUAUGUGGGGAUGAUUGAUUGUAAAAUCUUGUGAAGAAGGACCAGUUUACCAAUCUCAAAAAGUUGUUCAAAAGACUACGAAAAUAUCAACUCAAGCUAAACUCAGCAAAGUGCACAUUUGGUGUUAAGUCCGAAAAAUUGUUAGGGUUUAUGGUUAGUGAGAAGAGCACUGAAGUUGAUCCAAAUAAAAUACUUGCCAUCCAAAAUUUAUCUCUUUCAUGCACAUAAAAAGAAGUAAGGAGUUUUUUGGGAAGGUUGAAUUACAUUUCUUACUUUAUUUCUCAACUUACUUUUAAAUGUGACCCAAUUUUCAAGUUGCUUCAAAAACAUGAUCCCGAAAAAUGGGAUGAGGAAUGUUAGUAUGCCUUUGAAAAAAUUAAAAAGUACCAUAAAAUCCUUCGGUGUUGGUAUCACCUAUUAAGGGGAAACCAUUGAUUUUGUAUGUCAUGGUGUAUGACCAUUCUAUGGGAUAUGUGUUGGGGCAAGAAUAUGAAAUGGGCAAGAAAAAGCAAGCCAUUUAUUACUUAAAUACGAAGUUCAUUGAAUAUGAGUUUAAAUAUUCCCAACUAAAAAAAAUGUGUUAUGCAUUAGCUUAGACAGCUUAUAGACUUAAGCAAUAUAUGCUACACCAUACUACUUGGUUGAUAGUAAGGUUGGAUCCUCCUAAGUAUAUUUUUGAAAAACCAUCAUUUUCAGGAAGGGUAGCAAAAUGGCAAGUCAUACUCUCUAAAUAUGAUAUUGUAUAUGUGUCACAAAAGGCAAUCGAAGGAAGAAUGAUACUUGAAUUUCUAGCAGAGCAUGUAACUGAUGAUUAUGAGCCUACGAAAUUGGACUUUCUCGAUGAAGAUUAAUGACCAUAUCCCAAGUAGAGGAAAAGGAACCAGUAGAAAAGCCAUGGAAAAUGUUCUUUGAUGGGGUUUCAAAUGCUUUAGGGCCUGGGAUUAGAACAAUUUUGAUAUCCCUUUAUGGAAAUUAUUAUCCAAGCAUUACAAGGUUAGAUUUUAAUUGCACCAACAAUAUUGCAAAAUAUGAAGCAUGCAUAAUGGGCUUGCAAUGGCAAUUGAAAGGAAAAUUGGAAUGUUAGAAGCCUAUGGAGACUUGGCUUUGGUAAUUUAUCAACUACGUGGUGAAUGGGAAACAAAAGAUUCAAAGUUGGUAUAAUACCAAAAGUAUGUGGCAGAUUUAGUCAAACAAUUUGAAGAGGUCUAAUUUUUUCAUGUACUUUGAGAAGAUAGUUAAAUGGCUGAUGCCCUAGCAAUACUGGUUGCAAUGUUUAAAGUGGGUGAUAAGAUGGAAAUCUAACCUAUCCGAUUGAAUGUGCAAGGAUCACUAGCAUAUUGUUCAUUUGUUAAAGAGGAGAUUGAUGGCCUGCUGUGGUACUAUGAUAUCAUGCAAUAUGUCAAGUACCAACAUACCCAAAGCACGCAUCAGAAAAUGACAAACAAAUCAUCAAAAGAUAGCUAUGGGAUUUUUCUUUUAUGGAGAAAUUUUUUAUAAGAAAAGUCGAGAUCAAAUGUUAUUAAGAAGCAUGAAUGUGGUUGAAGCCAAGAAAAUAUUGCAAGAAGUGCAUGAAAGAACUUGUGGAACACAUGCAGAUGGCCACAUAAUGGCUAAACAAAUCAUAAGGGCAGGUUAUUAUUGGUUGACAAUGAAGAAUGAUUGUAUCAACUUUGCCAGAAAAUGCCAUAAAUGCUAGAUUUAUGCAAGUAAAAUUCAUGCUCCUCCAAUCCCUUUACAUGUUCUCGCACCUCCAUGGUCGUUUUCCAUAUGGAGAAUGGAUGUAAUUAGACCCAUCACUCCAAAAGCUUCAGAUGGACAUCGAUUCAUUUUUAUCAUGAUCGACUAUUUCAUAAAAUGGGUCGAAACAUCUUUUUAUACUAAUGUGACAAGGCAAUGGUAUGCAAGUUUAUAAAAAAGGAGAUUGAUAUGGCCUUCCAAAAAAGAUCAUUUCUAAUAAUGCUUGCAAUUUGAAUAACAAAAUGUUAGCAGAUGAUUGUGUUUAGUUUAAAGUGAGGCACCAUAAUUCAACUCCAUAUCACCCAAAAAUGAAUGGAGCAGUAAAAGCUGCUAAUAAAAAUAUCAAGAAAAUAAUAGAAAAAAUUAUUGAUAUUUAUAAAGAUUGGCAUGAAAAGUUACUUUUCGCAUUGUAUGCUUAUAGGACAUUAGUGCUUACAUCUAUUGAGGCCAUUCCUUUUUCACUCGUAUAUAGUAUGAAAGCUAUGCUGUCAAUCGAGAUGAAGAUUUUUUCUUUAAGGAUCUUGAAAGAAGUAGAUUUAGAGGAAGUGAAAUGGGUCCAAAAUUGCUAUAAAGAACUAAACCUCAUUGAAGAGAAAAGGUUACAACUCUUUGUCAUGGUUAGUUGUACCAAAAAAGAAUGGUGUAACCACAUGUCAAAAGAGUUCAAUUCAGGCAUUUACAUAAGGGGGAAUUGGUUUUAAAAAAAAUUAUUUCAAAUCAGAAUGACAAUUGAGGAAAAUGGGUGCCAAAUUGGAAGGAUCCAUAUGUAGUCAAAAAGGUUUUUUCGAGUGGAGGAUUGAUUUUGGCAAAGAGGGAUGUGGAUGAUUAGCCAAACUUGAUAAAUUUAAAUGCUAUAAAAAAGCACUUUGCUUAAGAAAAAAGAAAAUAACAAUAAAAAAAAACCAAAAAAAAAAGGAAAAAAUUGAAGGAAGACUCAUAAUUGAAAACCUAAAAAAACCAAUUUAAGUCAAAAGGAAGGAUCUAAGUUGAAAACCUAAAAAGGUGGCUUAGAUGCGAAGGAAAUAUCCGAGUACAAGGGGAAAUGUCCAAUACAAUGAACUCAGAAGGAUCAGUUGUAUUAAUGGAAUGGGUUUUUAAGAAAAAAAAUUUGGAAUAUUGUUCAUGUUGUCUGAAUAUUCACUUUUUGAAUAUAAUUCUCUUGUUUAAACUAGUGUUCAAGCUUUUCGUUGGACACAUUUUUGUACCUUUUUAUAAUAAAUAUUCACCUUUCUCUAAAUUACCUUGCUUUUUGGUAAUCUUUAUUUUCUCAAAUAGAGGAAACGCUAAUUCAUUACACUAUUCAUGAAAUUUGAAAUAUGAUAAAUGAUUGAUAAUACUCGUAAAAGAUUUUACAUUAUUUUGUGAAGAUCAAAGAUAACAAAGUAUAAAAAAAACAAACAAACAAAAAAAAAAUAAAACACAAAAAAAAGGGAAGAUUUGGAAAGGCACCUAUUUUCAAAUUCAUCAAAUCAUAGUAAAAACUUGUUAGAAGUAAUGUUGGAUAAGGAUUAGGAAAUGAUUGUCGUAGUUCAUGAGAAAACAGCUUCUAGAAUAUGCAAACUGGGGUUGAGAAUGGUUAUUUAAAAAAAUAAAAUAAAAUAAAAACAAAACAAAAACAAAAAUAAAAAAAAGAAAUGAUUGAUGUAAAGAACCUUGUUACCAUAAUUUGGAUGCGUCAUAUUGAUUUCUUAUAAAACUUGCAUUACAUUCAUUGCAUUCAUGAAUUGCAUUAAUAUGUUCUUCAGAAAAAUUUGAACCUUGUUUUUAAGGAAGAAUCAUUCAAAUAAAUGAUUGAAGCAUGAAAAAUGAUUUUGAAAUAAUCACAACUUGUGAAAUUCUCGAACCAUAACAUCAUGAGUCAUUUCCAAACUAGUUUCAAAAUAAAAAGAAAGAAAGAGAAAAAAAAAACAAGAUUUUAAAAUUUUAAAACUGCUGAUUGGGGAGAAACCUUUUUUAAAUUUUAUUUUUGAAGUUUCAAUGCCUCUGAUUGGGAGGAGCAUUCAAAGAUUUUUGAAAUCUCUAAGACCUCAAGGCAAAACAUUUUAAAUUUUUAAAGUUUCAAUGCCUCUAAUUGGGAGGAGCAUUCAAAGAUUUUUGAAAUCUUUAAGAUUCGAAGACCUCUAGGCAAAACAUUUUAAAAUUUCAAAGUUUCAAAGCCUUUGUAUGGGAGGAGCCAUUUUAAAAGUUUCAAAGCCUUGGCUUGAGGGAAGCUAUUUUAAAAGUUUUGAAGCCUCUAUUUGAGAGAAGCCUUUUUCAAAGUUUCAAAGCUCUAUUUAGGGGGAGCUAUUUUCAAAAUUUCAAAGCCUCUGUUUGGGGGGAGCCAUUUUGAAAACAAAAAAAAAAAAACUCUCUCAAAAGCAUCAUCUGGAUAAAAUUGUUGUCUAUAUCUUUACAUUAUUUUUUAUUCUCUGAAAUAUGCAAAGAGGGGCAGCUGCAAACAUCAAAUUUUAUUCGAAACAUUUUUGCAUGGUUGAACAAAGCCCAUUUGAAGUCCAAAAAAAGGUCCCUUCAAGAGUCCAUAAAAUGCAUCAAUAUUUAAGGCAAAUGAUGGAUGAAAAUUAAAGAAUAAAUAAAACGGGUCAACCUUCAAAGUCAACUCUAGUCAAAAUUAUACAAAACUCAAUCAAAAUGAAUGGAACCAAGGUUGAUCCUCAAAAUUUGUAACCUAAAUUGAAUCAAUGUGGUUUUAAAUUAAAUUUGGUGUUUUUUAAAAUACUAAAAUUUUUAUUGUACUAAGAAAAAUGUGAAAUUACUAAAAUAUCCCUAUAAAGGUAUUUUGAUAAUUUGAUUUUUUUGAACUUGGAUUUUUAUGAAAUUUUUUAGAUCUUAAUUUCAUAAUAUUUCAUGAUUUUUUGUGUAUUUGAAAUCACAACCGUAGCUUAAAAAAUGUAAAAUUAUCAAAAUACCUAGGUAUUUUUAUAAUUUAUCCUUCUAGAGCUCAAAUUUUCAUGAAACUUUUUAGAUCUUAAUUUUAUAAUAUUUCAUAAUUUUUAGUGCAUUUGAAAUCAUAGUAGUACCUUAAGAAAUAUGAAAUUACUCAAACACCCUUGUAGUGAUAUUUUCGUAAUUUGACCUUUUCGAGCACAGAUUUUCUUGAAACUUUUCAGAUUUUAAUUUUAUAAUAUUUCAUUAUUUUUGGUAUUUUAAAAUUCUAAAAAUGAGCAUCAAAACAUUGAUUUAUAAGAAAAUGCCAUAAAUAUCAAAAACUUUGUAUUAGGGUAAAAUGAUCUUUUCAUAUGUUUAGAGGAAAUAAAAAUCCAACAUUUGCAGUGAAUAAUGUGGAUCAUUAGAUCUUUUAUUGAUCUUGAUCUAAUGGUCAAAGGUGGUUCCUUGAAAGGAUUAAAAAGGUAAGCUUUUGACCUUAGGAUGAAAUCUCAUCUAAAGGUCUAGAUUCAUCAAAAAUUAGAUUUUUUUUUAAGAGCUACUAUUAAAGGGGGUUAGGGGUCCGGUCAAAAGUGAAGAGAAGAAAGGCUGAAAAACUAGAAAGGUGGGAAAAGAAAAGCCAAACACGUAAAACAGGGAGGGAGGAAAGCUACUAAAAAAAAAGAGGAAGCCCAAUAGAGAAAAAGAAGUAGAAUUAGAAAAAGAAAAAGAAAAAAAAAAGGGUUGCUAAAAGAAAGGAGCUCCUAAAAAAUACUGGAGGGGAAGCUACCGAAGGAAAAAAGAAGGGGAAGCUGCUAAAAGGAAAAUGGAUAAAGCUACCAAAAGAGAAAGGGAUGAAGCAAGCAAAGGUAGAAAGGGUUUCAAGCUGGUUUUCUUUGUUAUUCCAUGUGGCAUGAUUUCAAUUUUUUUUUUUUUUGUUUUUGAGCUGCUGUAGUGUUUUCAUUUAUUUAACUCAGUGUUGACUGAAUUGGCUUCCUUUUCUUUACACGCCAUUUGCAUUUUCAACUUGACAUCAUGGAAGUUAUGGUCAACACAUUUCCAAGUUGAUUUAUUUGAUGUUAUGUUGUAUUGGUUCAUUGAUCUUUAGAUACUCAUUGAAUCUACUGGUUCUUAUGGCGUGAUGAAUACUCAUAGGAAGUUAGAAAUUUUUUUUUCUAUUUUGGUUUUUUGUUUGUUAAUAGUACUGUUUCACCUAGCUCAAAGUCAUGUCUUAUUCUUCUUUUGGAUUGUUUACAACUUUACAAAGGUUUAACAAGAUGUUGAAAUUUUUACAAUAAGGCUUAUUUCCAUGUAUGUUUUAUAUCAUCAUUCAUAUUUCUCUAAUUUUGUUUUAAAUAUGAUUAUAAUUUAAAUCUUAUGCAUUUCCUUUCAUGCUAGUUUAGUUAAAUUUUCAUGUUCACUUUAAAUUUACUUAAUUUAGUUUUUGCACCUUAAUAUAUUUUAAAUGAAAAUUUGUUCUUCAUUUAUAAAAUAAUGUUAUGAAUGAAAUUAUCCAAGGAUCAUAUUUUAGAGAAAUCUGAGUAGUGAUUUCUCUAAAAUGUCGAGGUGAGGAUAUUUUUCUAAAAAUACUACCAAAGUAAUGGAGUAUUUGGGAAAAUAUUCAAUACAAAAAAGUUUCAUUUGUCUAGUUUUCUAAAAUUUUGAUAGAUGUUAGUAAUAGUUUGUAAUGACUUUUUUAAUAAUAAAAUUGAUAUAAUUAAAGUUUAAAAAUUAGAACAAAAAAAUAUAUAAUUAAUUAAGUAAGAAAAGACAAAGUGAAUAAAAAUUUUUAAGGAUGAGAUUUUAAGGAAGUCCGAGUAGAGAUUCCUAAAAAUCCUUAGGUGAGAAAAAUUUUCUAAAAUAUCGCCAAAAUAUCAGGGUAUUUAGGUAAAUUUUCAAUAAAAAUUUUAUUUUCUUUGUUGUUUCAAUUUUUAGUGAUAAUUGAAAACAAGUAAAGAGAAUUAAAACAUAAUUAAUAUAUGUUUUUCAUAUGCAUAUUCUACUUGAUUAUUUAUAGUAAAUGCAAAUGAAAAUUCCAAUGAUAAGACUUCAAGAAGUUCGAGUAGUGAUUUUUGAGAAUUUUUUAGGUGAGAAAAGUUUUCUAAAAAUUAUCAAUUUAUUAGAAUAUUGAAAAGUUUCUUUCCAAUACAAAAAAAAUUCAUUUGAUCAUUAUUGUUAAUUUGAGUAGUUUUUUUUUAUGAAAAUAUACUUUUGGAAAUAAAUUUGUUUAUAGAUAAUGAUUUAUUACAUGAUUUUAAUGUAAAAAAAUCUCCGAUGAUGGGACUUUGGAAAAUCUGAGUACUAAUUUCCCAGAAAUCCUUAGGUGAGAAAAAGUCUUCUUAAAAUUGUCAAAGUAUUGGAAUAUUUAGAGGUUCUUUUCAACACAAAACAAAUUUAUUUUAUGAUUAUUUUCUAUAAUUCAAACAAUAUUUCUUUAUAAAUAAGAGUGUUUUUAAGAAACAAAUAUAUUUGUGGAUAAUUAUACUAUUACAUGAUUUUAAAUAAUAAAUAAAUAAAAAAUCUCUGAGGAUGGGAUUCUAAAAAAGUCUGAGUAGUAAUUCUUUAAGAAUCUUUAGGUAAGAAAAUCUAUCUAAAAUGCCACCAAUGUAUUGGAGCAUAUAGAAUAAUUUUUUAUAAAGAUUUAUUGUUCUUUUAUAAAUGACAUAGAAAUGAGUUUUUUAAAAAAUGCUAUUUGUUUUUAAAAUUAUAGAUAUUAUAUUUUAGUGAAAUAAAUACAAACCACCAAGGACAAGAUUUUUGAAAAUUUUAAGUAGUGAUUCUUAAAAAUUCCUUAGGUGAGAUGGUUCCUUUUAAUAUUUCUAGAAUAUUGAAAUAAUUUUAGGAAUUUUUCAAUAUAAAGUUCUUAUUUAUUUUUCAAGCUCACUAAAAAUAAAAAAUAUGUUUUUUAAAGAAAAAUAAGGAAAUUAAUUUUUUAAAUACCAAAAUUAAAACCAUUUUAGUCAUAAUUAAAUGAUAACACAAAAUUAAUUGGUACCAUUUUAAAUGGGCAUCAUAGGGGUGCUAAUCCUUCUUCACACAUAACUGACUCCUGAACCAACAUGAUUUUUUCAUAGACAAAAAAUUAUAUUUUUAAUAAAUUUUAAUUUUUACUAAAAGGAUAAGUUUUAAUAGGUGGCCAAUCACACCUAGCCAAAAAAAGAUUGGUGGCGACUUUAUUUUUUUUGUUUUUCAAAUUCGUCUAGUAUUUCCUAAAAUCGUUAUGACAUCAUUGCUCUCUUUCUUUCUAUUGUAGUGACUUUAAAUCCUAAUCCAAACCUUUCCCUAUUUUCAAAUAAUCUAGGUGGCUCCUUGACUCCUUGCAAAUUCCUUCCAAGUCUGUAUCCAACUCGUCAUCUUUUUACCCAGUGUUUGUUUAACAACCAUCUCGAUGGUAUUUGAUAAGUGUGGAGUGCACAACUUCGAUCCCUCCACUACAUAAGUUGCAUUAAUAAAUUCAAAAGAGCUAAAAGAGCUAAAAGAGCACUCCAAUACCUCAUUUGUAGCUUUCACAUAUGGUGUGGUUAUAGGCUUGGUCACCAACAAGUCUUUUUCUCUAGAAACACUAAUCAGUUGAUCUUUAACUAUAAACUUUACUUUUUGAUGCAGAGAUGAUAGGAUAGCUCCUACCAUAUGAAUCUAUAGUUGUCCCAAUAGGCAGCUAUAAGAUGGCGAAAUGUCCAUGACUUGGAAUUUUAUAGAGAAAGGGCAUGGCCCUAUUUGCAUUAGUAUUUUAACGUCCCUUAACACUUCCCAUCAAGAUUCGUCAAAAGCCCUCACUACCAUAUAGCUGGUCUUCAUAUGUGAUACAUCAAUGGGUAAUUUUAUUAGGGUAAUCAUAGGUAUGACAUUGAUUGAAGAGCCAUUGUCAAUAAAAACUUUAGCUAUGAUAUGGCCUUUGCACAUAGUAAUGAUAUGAAAGGGUUUUGGCACUGCCCUUCCCUUUGGUAAGAUUUCAUCAUCAUUGAAAGUUAUGAAAUUCAGAUCCAUAAUACUCUCUACAAUAUGGUCAACAUUCUCAAUAGAGAUAUUACGGUCCAUAUGUGCUUAAUUCAACACUCUUAGUAAGGUAUUUCAAUGCAGUUCAAAAUUCAACAAUAGUGACAACAAAGAAAUUCGAACAGGCACUUUGUUCAACUGCUUUACUAUGCUAUAUUCACUGUUUUUCAUCAACUUUAAGAACUCACAUGCUUCUUUUUUAGUGACAGGUUCCUUACAUUGUGCAUUUUUAGCCGUUACAAAAUAAGUCGUGUCUCAUUCUCCCAAUAUAUCUUUUUUGCUCUUUUGAGCCUUCUUUAUCAUUUCAGGAGUAUAACAUCUCUCACUCCUCGUCAUUCCACCUACCCUAGUUAUAUUUGCACUACUGGUGGCAUUUGGGUCAUUUGCAACCUGACAGUCAUUUGAUUCUUAUGCCAUGACAUUAUAAUCAUACUUUCACGACUCUACCUUAUUACUUUGAUAAGGGAAUGGGCUAGGGAUUCGAAUUGUUAUAGGUUUUAAGGGAAAAGGAAUGGGCUAUUAUUUCACUGAGCUUGUUUUUAGGUUACAGAAGAUAGUUAUUGGUUUAGGCAUAAACUUGGGGAACAUACUUUUUGAAGAUCUUCUUCAUGUUUCAUUCAUCAAAGUUUGCCCUUGCACCUCACCUGGUUUUUCAUUAGAAUAAAUCAUCACCAACUUAAGCAUAAACUUAAAGGGCAUACUCCUUGAAAACCCUUUUUUUUUGUUGUAUUCACUAUGUUUUGAUCAUCCUCUUCAUAAAACUCUACCAAGGUCGAAUCCAUCAUUGUUUGUAGCACUUGGCAAAACACACCACAAUUCUGAAUUGAGUGUCCAACCAUAUUCAUGUGAUAGAUACAUGCUUGAGUUGGAUUAAAGUCUCCUUGAUAAAUCACUUGUUUUGAGGGAAUUAGGUGAAGCAUGUCGACCUUGACCAAAAUUUGAAACACUUGACCCAUUGAGAUUUUAACUUCAUCAACACUUUUUUUAACAUGCCUUACCACACUGCCCUCUAUUGUAUUGAUCAUUGGCCCAUAGUGGUUUGGCAAAGGAUUUUCAUUAACAUUUGAUUUCCCACUGGUGUCAAAAUUUAUAUAUCCUUGUUUUGAUCAAGUAUUACACUCUAUACUUAAGAGCUAUGCAAUUUUUAACUUAAUGGCCAGUAACCCCAUCAUGACAAUCACACUGAGCAUUUGGAUCAUACAAUCUAAGGUAUGGAGGCUUCAAUGGUUUUAUGGGGUAAGGUGCAAUGAGAUGGUUUGCUAUCAAUUGAGUGAACAAAUUAGUGCAAGACAUGGGAAUGGGAUCAAGGGGAGUUUUCUCUUAAGUGGCCUUUAGACCUCUAAGAUUGCUUAUUGAACUAUUUGACUGGACAAUAGGUUAGGCUACGGGUGUAAGAGCAUAAGUAGGCAUGCCAAGGCAAAAGCUUUAUGGGAUUCUAGGUGGUGGUACUAGGGGUGUAAUCAAGCUGAAUCAAGAUGAUAUAGUGAAAAGCUCAAACUCGAGCUCGAGCUUAACUCCUAACUCACCACUUGAUACUCGGCUUAAACUUGAUCAAGUUUCAUUUUCCUAGUUCAAGCUUGAUUCGUGAUCCAAAUUGAGCUACUCAAGUUCACUCGAUUGGCUCAAUUAAUAUAUAAAAAUAAGCUCGAUUCUUGUACUCGACAAAAGCUCGAUUAUUUGUACUCGAGCUCAAACUCGAACUUGAGCUCGAGAUCGAGAUCUUUUACAACUAUUUUUAAACAAACUUAAUACAUAUUAUAUUUUCAAGAUAAUAACAAUAAUAAUAGUAACAACAACAAUAACAACAACAAUAAUAAUAAUAAUAAUAACUUACACAAUAACUGAAUUUUAUAUCCCUGAGUUCUCUAAAAAUGUAUUCCUCCACCUAUGUAUGAUUUAGAAUAUUUUUAUUAAAUAGAUCGAAUGUGAUAAACAGUAAAAUGUAAAAUAAAAAGAAACCUGAAUAUUAUGAUUUGAUCAGGCUUUCACUUUCCUAAACUUGCAUAAAAGUCCAAGAGAACGUCCCUGAGAUCAAAGAAAUUACAUUAGGUAUACAAACUAUAUACAUCACUAGACCCAAAAGUUAUAACACCAUAGACGUAAAUGAUUACCGGUAGAAUAACAUAUCACAUAACUUUCUUACUAAAACCAACUCAAUCACUACCACUUGACAUUUCAAAAAAUAAGAGAGGAAAAGGAUAUUAAAAUUAAAUUUCAGCAAAAAGCACUUGUCCUUCGAUUUUUUUUUUUGCCAAUGCUUGUCCCUUGUUCAGUCAAAUAACUUUAUGAUUGAAGCUCACCUCAUGAUACCUUCAUCCUCCUUGUUAGACACUCAUUUGAAUAAAGAAUCUAUCAUCUCAACCUUAGGUGACUACAUACGCACGGAUGCCCUAUAACGGGAAAUCAAAGGCCAUUACCUGGAGCUGACCACCUACAAAUUAAACAUAAUUAAAAAAAUCCCAAAAUUUGAAGCAGAGACUGCCAAAUCACAUAUCUAUAACUAUUAUUAAAAAUUGCAUGUAAUUGAUGAAAACUCAAGAAACCCAACAAUAAAGAAUGGGAUAAUCCCUACAACAGCAAUUGAUGGGGAAAUCAGUUGCCCAGGAAAGCCAUGUGACACAUCCAUGCCAAAGAUGAUAGUCAGAACCUUUGAAAUAAUAAGGAUUAAAGGUGUUUCUUCAAUAGCUAAUAUCGAAUUCAAACCUCCAAGCUGUGAGCAGAUUGUAAUAGACAUGUUAGCUGGUUUAAUACUAAAUAUUAGAACUGCAAUAAGAGAAAUUGGUUAAAGUAAAAAAAAAAAUUUUAAAAAAGAGCAUAUUUGAUAAGAACAGACCUUUGCAUUGAUCUUGAGAAGCAAAUUUGUAAAGUGCUAAUCAUUGACCCUAGUUAGAGCUAUACAUUAAGUGACUAUGCCAAACUCAGCAAGAUUCUUUCACUUCCAUGGACCUUAAAAGAUUCAAUAAACAUUAUAUUUAAAGAAAAGACUUCAAGAAAGACAUGCAAGGCUAAUGUAUAAACAGAUGAGAUUGUGCACACCAUAAAGAUCAUAAUUUUUCCUAUCAGAUGGUAGGCAAAAAAGGAACUAUGGAGCUCUAGGAAGUUUAGAUUAGAUCUUCUCAAACAUCUUCUCCACUCUAACCACAAGAGGGGCACAUCUAUUCUAAUUCGUCUCUUGAAACACAUUAAAUGGAGGAUCUAUACGCUAAAGCAGAGACAUGGAAAUCAGCUCCUUUCACCUUCCUGUUUCGAAUCACUAGUUUAUUAAUAUGAAUAAUGGGUAGUCUUUCUAAGCUAGAUCACCUUAUUCCCAUCAACUUCUUGGCCACACCAAGGUCGACGGCAUUGAUAACUUUCCUUUACCACUUUUUUUUGUCAAAAUUUAUUUUGGCAUGGUUUUUACUUAAGAUAGUUACAGAACUAUAGGACAAAUAAAGGAAUUGGAUCAUGCUCAAAGACUUUAUCAUCAUUAUAUUUUUGUACAAAAUUACAUGGAUGACUACAUAAUCAAACACAAUAAAGAAUCAUGGCUACAACUGUAAAGUUCACUUGUUAUGAAAAAACCUUUUGUUGUUAUGCAGAAAGGUAGCAACCUACUUGGAUUUGUCUUUGGAUUUUCCAACUUUGAUUUGUCUUGGAUUUGAGUUGGCUUUGGUCUAGCUUUGAAAUCUUGGAAGAGAGUGGGAGGAAAAGGCGUAGUAAAGGUUUUUUGGUGAUAUGAGAAAAACAAAGAGAAAGAGAGAAAGAAAAGAAGGAAAGAAGAAAAUAAAAUUUUAAGGUAUUUUAGGUUAAGGGUAAAAUAGUAAUUUUAUAAAUAAAAUAAUAAAAAAGUUUGAUUAGGCUUACGAGUUAUUCGAGUCAGGUACUAAUAUGCUCAAACUCGACUCGUUCGAUAAAUCAAGCUAUUCAAGUUUGAGCUCAGCUCGAUAAUUAUUGAAUCAAAUUUAAGUUUUAAUCGAAUUGAAUCUGAGUACCUUACGAGUACUAAUGUAUCAUUUACACCUUAGGUGAGACGGUUGAUAUGGAUAUGAACUUUGGGAAAUCUUAUGUAUGGUAGGGUAAUAAAGUGGGUAGGUUGGGUAGGGGAGAUAUAGGAUAAAAUUUCUAGGUGGUUGAUUCCUAUAAGCCACAAUAUACGCCUCUCCAUCUUUCUUUUUAUGUAUUAUUACUUUCUUGGAACUUGAGGCAUCACCUGUCUCGAUCUUACAACUUUUGAUCACACUUUCUAUCAUUUCACUAAAAAUUAUUAUAUCUGUAAAAUUUUUUGUUGCAUUGUCAACAAGUUUGUCAUAGUACGGUGCCUUGAGAGUAUUAAUGAAAAGCAGUAUUGUCUCUUUUUUAGUCAAAUACGAUUGUACUUAAGCAGUAAGAUCCCUCCAUCUAUAGGCAUAUUCCUUAAAAGUUUCAUUGGCUUUCUUUUUCAUAUUUUGUAGUGACAAUCUAUUAGGAGCCAUGUCUAAUACAUGUUUGUAUUGGCCAAGAAAAGCUUUAGCAAGGUCCUUCCAAAAAUGUAUGUGACUCCUAUCCAAUUGGACAUACCACCUAGCUACAGACCUAGUGAAGUUGUCCUAAAAACAGUGGAUUAGAAACUUAUCAUUGUUGAUGUGACCUGUAAUCUUACAACAUAACAUGGUGAGAUAGGCCGAUGGGCAUUUAGUUUCAUCAUAUUACUUAAAAUCAAAAGUUUUAAACUUCAGUGAAAUUACUAGAUCUGGGACCAAACUAAGGUCAUUCACAUCAAUAAUGCCAAAGAUGUCUCUUCUUUCAAUGGCUUUUAAUCUCUUUUCUCACAAAUCAUACUUGUGUUGAAUUUUUUUUCUCUCCUGACUCAGACAUACCCCUUAAUUUCUCUUACUAAUCGGGAUCAUCCAAAUUAGGAAUAAAAAUUAAAUCAACUGGAUUACAUUUUAGAUUAUGCUCGAAUUGCCCUUGAUUCAAUUGUUGAUUAACCAGUAAGUUCAUGUUUGAGAAUGGAUAAGGUUGUCCAGCUAUAUGCCAUAGAUACAUUAGUUGAGGAGCUUGAGCCUGGGGUGGUAUAUUCCCCGGUGGGCAAAAUGGCUCUUUUCUAGCAUUGUUAUUUUCUCAAGGUUGAUUUUCCUCUCUUGUAGUAAAGCUUUAGCAACACCUUUCCCUUUGGCCAUGCCUCCCAUUAACUCUCUCAGCUCUAUCAUUUGUCUUCACAUAUCUUCUUGCAUUUCAACCAUCUGUUCUUGCAUAUCUUCCUAAGCUUUUUCCAUUCUCUCUAUCAUGGUUACCUGCUCGUUUUCCAUAAUUCUAACUUGUAAUUGUGUAUUGUACGGGUGGUGAGUAGACCAGUUUCAAACUUUCAAUGGCUGAGCUAUCCUUAAACCUUUUAUUACCACAAUUUGAAAAAUUAGGAUGCCAUAUUAUUUUUAUGAAAGCAAAAUAAUUUUUAUUUUAAUUCAAAAAUCAUCAUUUUAAUGAGGUAAAAUAUUGAGAAAAAAUAUGCAAAAUUUAUGCAUCAAUGCAUUGAAAGGUAUUUACUCCAAGAUAUAUCUCAAACAUAAGAACUUUUUAUUGAUUUUGAUAACUUUUUUAUUACAGAGAGUCUAUCAUUUUAGCAUUAUAGCCAUAGAAACAUUUAAUUUGCUUAUAGUGAUCAUUGGUUUCAACUAAAAAGUUCAACAAACAUUGCUUAUAACUUCCAGUUGGAUUGAUUUCCUAUAUUAAAGCUUCCACUCUUUCGACCAUCUCCCUUGCUUUCUUUACUACUGUGCUAAUUUGACUAACCAGAUGCUCUAUGUAUUGUUGUUUUCCUAAACUUUUCGCCUUCCAUUUCAUACGAGCAUCCAUUUUAAGAUCGCAAAUGUAUCUCUAAUAUGUUUUUUAUUUUGCCAUUUUUUGAUGAUUGUGGAAAUAUGGCCUUUGUGGUUUUGCAAUUGCUAUUCCAUCUCUUGAAUUACUUGAUAAAGUGAUCCUUUCUCCUUUUGCAUUUCAUGGUGUUUUCUUUUUUCAUCUUUAAUCUGUGCCUUUAAUUUAUCAUUCUUUUUUUGACAUUCUAUAAACUUGUUGAAGUUGUUAAGCAUAAACCUUCCCACUCUUGUUGUUUUCGAGAAAUCUUGAUGGUUUUUUUUCUUAUUUUCCUUGGCUUUGUCCUUCAAAUGUUGCAACUCUUCUUGAAGCUCAAUUAUUUCCUUUUGCUACCUAAUACCAAAUUUAGUGCUUUUCCCCUUUUUUAAUUGGUUUUCUUUUUCUUGUUUUCAUGAUGCAAAUCCUUUAAAUCAUUUUAAGCCACAUCCUGAUCUUACUUUUUAAGUCUAUUUUUUUGAGUUUCCACUUCAUAUUUUAGUUGUCCCAUCUUUUCUUGGAGUAUCAAAUUUUCCUUUCCCAAUUUCUCUUUUUCUGCUUCAAGUUUUUGCUUGACAAUGGUUCUUUUGCCCAUAGGUUCACUUGUUGGAAUAAGAAAUCAUCUGGAAGGAGCACAAUAUCUCUAAAACACUUUGUCUUCCAAAUCAAGUAAUCGAGGGUGACUUUUUCAAGAAUAGGUCCUAAUCUUAGCCUUCGAGUCUUUUUCCAUACUUGAACUGACAACUCCACUAUUCUUGAUGACCCUACUUCUCCAUAAGCAAAUUCUACUAGGGUAAGUCCAUGCGUGCUGGGACAAACUGUUUCGCACCAAAUUGCGUUAACACCAUUAGUGGAGCGUAACUUACCACUCUCCACGAUUCCAAAAUCAGUACCCAUGGGUCAUUUCCACCCUGAUAUAACAUUAGCCAUCCAUUUGACCUGAUCACUAGUAAGCCUUCGAAAAAAUGCUACCCACUUUUUUUUGGAUCUCAAUGUUGGCCAUUGACUCUUUUAAAAUUAUUUGACUAGGGUUUUAUUUCGAAGAUACAGCUUGACAAAAGCAUUUUUUUUGCAUCUGAAAUGGCUUUUUAUCUAGACAAACAGUAACUGUGCAUUCCCUGUGAAACAUCUUUCAUUUCAAUGAUAAAAGUUCAAUGAUUUGAUAGUCCUAGCUAUGAUGGCAGGAAUAGGAUUAAUCGUCUGACUUUUGAUUUGUUCUAAUAGAUCAACUACUACUAAUUCAAUAUAUCCUAAAGUUUUUGGAAAGAUCACCAUACCAUAAAUUAUUAAGGCGAACGCUGCCAGGCCUUGAUCAUCUUCUAAGCGUCCAAAUAUGAAAUCAUGAAAGAAAUGCCAAGGUAAGUCGACACCUUUACCUUUAUCUUUAGUCAAAGCAUCCAUGGCCUCUUCCUUCAUUCCCAUUAAUUUAGCUGUCUUUGAAACCCUUGAACCAAUCGAUCCAUACGAGGAGGGGAUGAUUGGUUUCCAUGAAAUUUGCAUGAAAAAUCUUUUUAGCCAAAAAGUCAAUCGAUUCCCUUAAGAGGGGAUCAAUUCCCUUUAUGCUACUUUAUCCAAUCUUAUUUUUAAAUCAUGCAAGAUGAAUUUGAACAUUUCUUGACUGGAUUAAAAGCUUAAUAAGUAUUCAAAUUAAGUUCAAAUCAUUUUAAUUCAAUUUUAGCAAAUUUUUGUUUUGUCAUUUCAAAAUGUUUUAACAAUUCAAGGCUAACAAUAUCUCCCUCUUUGAUAUGACAAAACCAAUAGUUAAAAAAUUUGCUUCGAAAACAAUUUUCUCUUUUAAGAAAGCUCCCCCUGAAUUUAAGCAAGAUCAAUAAAAUUAAAGGGCCAAUUUUACAUCAUGAACAUAAUAAAGAUAUAAGGUAAAGGUCUCCUAAGCAAUUAAAAACUUAUCAACUAGUAAAAUAAUAAUUUAGCAACAACUUUUCACUAGCAAAUUUUCACACAAAUUUUCACAAUACACAAACAAACUUCCCCCCUUUUUGUCAUAACAAAAAAAAUCCAAGAGCAAGGUAACAAUACUAUAACCAAUGUAAGAUCAACUUGCUCAAUCAAUUCACGGCAACAAUAUUAUACUAAACACAAGGCCAAUAUCAUUGAAUGUCAAUAUUUUAGCUCAUCAUAGCAUCAUAAUAUCAAGAAUGAGAAUAACCACAAUAGCACUUUCAUAGCAACAUAAUCAUGUAUAAUAAACUUUGAAUCUUAAAACCACACAAACAAGCAGAGAAAAGUUCAUGCCAUUAUAUGCAAAGUACCAAAGUUGAUGCUACAAUAAAUUGUCUUAAAGAAAAUUAAAAACUUAAAAAAAAAUAAAAGAAAGACAUGUAGGAAAAACAUUUAAGCUUGGUUCAAAGAUAGGUUAAGGUGGAGGAGGAUAGGGAGGAAAAUGAUGAAAAUGUUACUCCAUUUGCUCUUGUACAAUUCGGCUAUGUCCAAUAUUAGUAAUAACUUGUUGAAUUUGUGAAACCAUCUCAUUUUGAGUUAGUUUCAUGUUUUCUAAUCUAGAGUUCAUAUCCCCAACCAAUGAGUGUAAACUAUUCAUCUGAGUUAUAAAAAUUUACAAAGCUCCUUAGGUAUCAAAUAGUAUACUAGAAUGACCUUCUUGAGGAAUAUCUUGUGGAACUUCUUGUGGAAUAUCUUGAAUCUCAUACUCUUCUUCGUGCUCAACUCUAAGUUCACUUUUCUUAAUCCAUACUCCAAUAAUAUUUUAAGUGUAUCUUAUAUUAUGAAGUGUGUGAACUCAAUAAUACAAGUAGGAUCGGAACACAAUCUCUCUAUCACUUCUAGUAUUGAUACCCACCUUCCUAAAUAGAUUGCUAAUGGUUAUCUUAUAUACCAAGGUGUAUUUCUUAUUUUGAACAACCCUUAUCAUAUCAUUAAAAAUGUAAAUGCAUGAGAUUAGGUUUCUCCUCAUGUUUGAUUUUAUACAUCUACCAAUAAUCUUGUUUUCUAAUGAUGGAGUAUUGGGUACCAAAUGGUGCUAACACAUGUGUGACGAUAAGAUGAAGCAAUCUAUCAUGCAUAUUUAAUCUAGAAGCUUGGAUUGGAGCAACCAUCAAAUCACCAUUCUAAAAAAUGUCCUGGGCCAAUCCAAGCAUAUUGCAUCUAGUGUUUGUGUCUCUAUUAUCUUUUAACAUGAAAGUUUCAGCUAAUAAGUUCUUGUCCACAAUUAUUUCUCUACCAAUCAUAAAUGUCCUAAAUUUAUCAGUAUAGUACCUAUUUCUAUGUCCAUCAACUUUAGUACAGUUUGCAUUACUAUAAAAUACCCUUACUAGAUUAUCAAAGACAAUGCCAUCCAAACUAAAAUAGUUCAUCCAACCAAAAUUCUUAAAAGCAUGAAACUAUGGAAAUCCAAUAGAUUGAGGGAAAUUUAGAUUGAUUAUCCUUCCUUUCUUAACUUCUUUAUGAGCAAAAUGAGUCUCGUAUAUCUUUUUUACUAUAGGAUUUUUGAAUUUUGGUUGAAGGAAAGCUUGACUGAAGAACUAGAGGCUUUCCUUAGUGGAUUUCUUCUUAUGGCAAGAUGAGGUCUUGUUUUAGGUGCCAUGGAAAUAAUGGGAUAGUGAAAAUAGGUAGGCUUAUGUGAAAUUGAUGAAAGAAUUUGUGAAUGUAGGUGACAAGUAGUAGAAUAUGUUUGAAAGAGGUAAAAAAAUUGAGUGAAUGAGGUAGUUUCAAUAGAGGCACAAAAAGGGAUCAAAUUCAUAAAGUGAAAAGCAUGAAUGUAGAUCUUUGAGUGAUUUGAAGGAUUUUAAAGAGGAUUUUGCAAGAAAUCAAAUAGAUAUGAAGUAAUUUGCAAAAUAUUUUGGUUGUAAAUGACCAAUUUUGAGAGAAAAUGAAGCGUGAAUACCUAGAGUUUUGGAGAAAAAGUUUUAGGAAGAAAAAAAAAGACUAUGGUUAACCAAAAAAGAAGGAAAGUCCAAAUUUUAAGUGGUCAAAAUGGUGCACAUAAGGGAUAUUGUUCAUGACCUGAUUGAUUGGGUAGUAAGGGGAUCCAUUGGGGAAGGACUUGACAAACCUGGGCAAGUAGAUUGAUUAGGUCUAAAAGGGAUCGAUCGGGUUUAACUGUUUUCAACAUUAUUUUGGCUACUAGAAAGAAAACCAAUCAUCUGUUGUGUUUGGGAUCGAUCGGUUCACUUGUAGCAAAAAAUUUUUUUUUAAUAAAUUGAAUUAAUUUUUUUUAUUUUAAAAGCAUGCAAUAUAACUAUUCGAAUAUGCAUCAUAUAAUUACAGAUAUAAUCAUAGACAAGAUUUCAAAAAUAUAUCAAGAUAAACAGACAUUUGGUCAAACAAAGUACAAAUAUAUCAAUUUAUAAAAAAUUUUCAUGAGCAUUCAUCAUACCAAGUUUUAUCUUUAUUAAAAGGUUUUGUAAAAAUAUCAGCUAGCAAGAUAUCAACAUAUUUAGCACAAUAUCAUUCUUUUGAACAUAAUCUCUAAUGAAAUGAUGCCUAAUUUUAAUAUGCUUAGUUCUUGAAUGUUGAAUUAGAUUUUUAGUGAGAUUGAUGGCAUUAGUAUUAUCACAUUUAAUGGGAAUGUGAUCCAUCGUAAUUCCAAAAUGCUCCAAUAUUGUUUAAUCCAUAAAACUUGAGCAUAAUAACUACCAGCCGCUACAUAUUCGACUUCAGUUAUGGUUUGAGCAAAAUUAUUUUGUUUCUUGAAAAACCAUGAUAUGAGCAUAUUUCUAAAUAAUUGACAAGUACCGAAGUGCUCUUUCUAUCAAUUUAAUAACCACUAAAAUUCGCAUCGGAAGAAGCAUGCAAAGUAAAAGAUGAACUUUUUGGAUACCAUAAUCUUAAGUUACGAGUGUCCUUAAGGUAUCUAAAAAUUCUUUUAACAGGAUUCUCUAGGUGAUGAUUGAAAUCUAACACAUAAGCACACACUAAACAUUAUAUCUGAUCUUACUUGCAAUAUGAUAUAACAAUGAACCAAUUGUAGACCUAUAUAAUUUGAAAUCAAUACAUUUACCUCAUUCAUCCUUGUCAAGUUUUGUUUAAGUGCUCAUAGGUGUUGAGUAAGGCUUUGAUUCUUUCAAUCCAAAUCUUAUGAGCAAGACUUUGAUGUAUUUAGCUUGAUUGAUGAAGGUACCAACUUUUAUUUGCUUUAAUUGUAAUCUUAAGAAAAAUAUAAGCUCUCCCAUCAUGCUCAUUUCAAAUUUACCUUGCAUAGUCUUAGUAAAUUCUUGACAAAGAACUUCAUUAGUAGCACCAAAUAUAAUAUUAUCAACAUAAACUUGCACAAUAAGAAUGUACUUUCCUUUAGUUUUAAUAAAAAAUGUAGUAUCAAUAUUCCCUUUAUUAAAACCAUUUUCAAUUAAAAAUUUUGACAAAUUUUCACACCAAGCUCUAGGGGCUUGUUUUAAACCAUAUAAAGCUUUUGUCAAUCUAUAAAUAUGAUUUGAAAAUUGAAGAUUUAAAAAUCGAAGAGGUUGCUCUACAUAUACUUUUUCAUUUAUAAAAUCAUUUAAAAAUGCACUAUUGACAUCCAUUUGAAAAAGCUUGAAAACUUUGAAACAUGUAAAUGCAAACAAUAUUCUAAUGGCUUCUAACCUUACAAUUGGGGCAUAGAUUUCAUCAUAAUCAAUUCCUUCUUAUUGACUACACCAUUGAGCCACCAUCCUAGCUUUCUUUCUAACAACAUUGCCAUGCUCAUCCAUUUUAUUUAUAAAAACCCAUUUGGUGCCUAUAGUAGGAUGAGCAUUAGGCCUAGGUACAAGAUUCCACACUUGGCUUUUUUUAAAUUAAUUCAAUUCUUUUUGCAUAGUCAAUAUCCAAUGAUCAUCUCUUAAGGCUACAUCUAUAUUCUAGGGUUCCAUAUGAGAGAGAAAAGUAAUAUAAUUACAUACAUUGUAAGAAGAUCUAAUUCUUACCCUUUGAGUUAGAUCACUAAUAAUCUCACUAUUUUUGACAUACCUCCUUUCUCUAUAAUGAUUUGAUUCUUACUCUAUUUGUUGUGGUUCCUCUAGAAACUCAUCAUCCUCCUUUUGAGUGUUCUCUUCAAUAUCAUGUGAUGCAUCAUUGAUAUAUUCUUGAAGUAUACCUACAUCAUUAUCAUCAAGAGACACCUUUCUUGGAGGUGGAUUAGAUUCAUUGAAGAUAACAUGUAUAGACUCUUCAACAACUAAUGUUCUUUUACUAAAGACUAUAGGCUUUGAAAUUCAAAGAAUAUCCUAGGAAAAUGCCUUCAUCACUUUUUGCAUCAAAAUUUUUAAGAUUAUCUUUUUCAAAGCAAAACAUUUGUAACCAAAAAGAUGAAAAUAACUUAUGUUAGGCCUUUUUCCUUUAAAAAUUUCAUAGGGAAUUUUCUUCAAGAUUGGCCAAAUCAUAGCUCUAUUUAUAAUAUAAUAAGAGGUAUUUAUGGCUUUUGCCCAAAAAUAUCUAGAUAAAUUAUUUUCACAAAGCAUGAUUCUAGUCAUUUCUUCUAAAGUUCUAUUUUUCUUUUUUACUAUCCCAUUUUGUUAAGGAGUUCUGGGAGCAGAAAAAUUAUGGCAAUACCAUUUUCACUACAAAACAUAUUAAAGCCAAAGUUUUCAAAUUCUUUUCCAUGAUCACUUCUAAUACUAGAAAUUGAAUAACAUUUCUCAUUUUGUAUUUGUUUGCUAAAAGUGAUGAAUUUUUUCAAAGCUUCAUUCUUUGAAUACAGGAAGAGAACCCAUGUAUAUUAGUAAAAUCAUCAAUAAUAACAAACUCAUAUUAUUUUCCAUCAAGGCUUAUUGUUCUAAUAGGACUAAAAAGAUCAAUAUGAAGUAGUUGAAAAAGUUUAAUAGUUGAAAUACAAUUAUUAGGUUUGAAAUAAAUUUUUCUAUGUUUUCCAUAAGCACAUGCAUCAUAAACCUUAUCAUUUUCAUAUUUUAAUUUUGGUAAACCAAUAACCAAAUCAUUUUGAGAAAGUUUUGAAAUUACAUGCAUACUUGCAUGUCCAAGUCUUCAAUGCCAAAUCCAACUUUCAUUUUCUUUUUAAGCUAUAAAAUAAUAUUUUUAGAAGAUAGAUCAUCCAAAUGCACCACAUAAACAUUUCCUUGAUGAUGUCCAAUAACAAUAACUUUGUUAGUCUUGAUAUUAAUCACUUGACAACGCAUAGAUUCAAAUACAACUAUAAGUCCUUUGUCACACACUUGACUAAUACUAAGUAAGUUAUGCUUGAGUCUUUUCACAAGUAAAACAUUUUCAAUAAUAAUAGAAGAAUUGUUACCAAUGGAGCAAAUCCCUUCAAUUUGACCUUUGGAGUUGUCUUCAAAUGUAACAUCUCCUCUACUUUUAGCCUUUAAAUCUCUAAAUUAAGCCUUAUCUUCGAUCAUGUAUUUUAAGCAUCCAUUAUCAAGGUACCAUGGAUUAUUUUUGCUUAAAUUUACCUUGUAGCAAUGGUAAUCCAUUUACAAGAACAUAAUCAAAAUUUUGUUUUGGGUAACCAAAUUUUCUUGGGUCCUUGACUAUUAAUACUCACAAUUUUUGUAUCUUUUAGAUUACACUUCACCCUAGUAAUCUCAUAUUGAGAUGUACUUACUUCUUUUGGAAUCCACACACUCUUAAUGAGUUUAUCUUUAUAAGUGACUUUCUUCAAAGAACAAUAUUGUAUAGAAUAACCCAAUUUAUGAUAAUAUGUAUAUGUGCUAGAUGAAUCAUUCAGCUUAACAAAAAAAUUCUUCAAAUGAAUCUCUUUGUCACUAUUAUUAUAGCCUAAUCCAUCUUUAUCAAAGAAUGGUAUUUAUGUUUCAAGCAUGUUAUUAAGUUUUUGAUGUCUCAUAUAAAAUCUAGAAAAUAAGUUAUCCAAAUUCUUAUUUUUCUUAGUCAAAUCAUCAACAUUCAAUUUUAAAAACUGAAUUUCCUUUUCUAAGUCAUUCUUUGCUUUAAUUAAAAGCUCAUUUUGUACCUUCAACUUAAAAAUAAUUUUUCUAUACUUCAUGUUCAUGAUUUUAAAUUCUAUAGCUAAUUCAUCAAAAGUAUCUUGUAAUUCAUCAAAUGUGUUUGAAUUUAAAUCAUUUGAAUUAGAUAUUACCUUGGGCUUAUCAAGGGCUAUGAGACAUAGGUUGGCUACUUCUUCCUCAUUUGAUUCAUUAUCGAAGAAGUUACUAUCACUCAAUGUUAUAACCUUUGCUGUCUUCUUUGGCUUCAUUAUGUUUUACUUCUUUCAAAAAGGAUAAUCGAAUUUGAUAUGACUUAGUUUGUUACAUUCAUAGCAAACAAUUUGAUCCUUUUCUCUUCUACUUGAUUUUACUUUUAUCAUUUUCCUUUGUGAUCUUCUUUUAUUUGAGAACUUGUUCAUCUUCAUAAACUUUUUAAACCCUUUUACAAACAUGGCCAUUUCUUGAUCUUCAUCAAUCUCAUCUUGCUCAAGUUUUUCUUCAUCUUUUUGAAAGGUUGAGCGAUACCACUUUUCUUGAUUGAUUCUUAUCCUUUUUUAAGCUUCAUCUCAUAGGUAAGGAGAGAGCCCAUGAGUUCAUCUAAAAAAAGUGUAUGAGGAUUUUUGGACUCUUCAAUGGAUGUCACCUUAACUUUUCAAUUUUUUGGUAAACUAUUUAUAAUUUUCUUCACUAUCUUCACAUUUGAGUAAGUUUUCCCAAGAGCCUUCAAAACCAUUAAUGAUGUCGGUGAAACGAUUUGACAUCUCACUAAUAGUUUCUUUUGAUUUCAUUUUGAAUAGCUCAUAAUCAUGAGUAAGCAUGCCAAUUUUGAUCUGUUUCACUUUCUUAGUACCUUUAUGAAUAAUGGUCAAUUUGUCUCAAAUUUUCUUUACAUUUUCACAUAAAGAAACUCUAUUGUACUUAUUAGACCCCAAUGCACAAAAAAAUGUAUGCAUUGCUUUGCCAUUAAGUUAAGCCAUCUUCAUAUCAUUGGUAUCCCAUUCACUUUCUUGCUUGACCACUUCUCUACCAUCCACCAUCUUCAUUGAAAUUUGAGGAUUAAUUUACAAUGACCCUUUAAACCUCAUAGUCAUUGGCUUGAAUAAACAGUUUCAUCAUAGUUUUUCAAUAUAAGUAGUUGUCACCAACAUAAAAAGAAUGUUUUACAAUUGAAUGGCCUUCACUUUCAAGAGAUGUAGUAACCGUUUCAUUUAUCAUGAGAUACAUUUCUUAUUACCCACUAUAUUUGUUGUAGCUUGAAGAUGGUUGUUCCAUAUUGACCACCAUACCUCGUUGAGUCAUUUUAAGAUCACUGUUAGAUUGAUAAACCUACAAAAAAAAGAGUAUUAGCUUUGAUAUCAAUUGUUAGCUCAAAGACUUGGAUUAAAUCAAUAGGGGAUGAAUUGAUUGAUAAUAAGUUUUUGUAAAUUCAAUAUCCAACAAGCACAAAGAUCACAAAUUAGUUUUUCUAAGCAAGUAAAUAUAACAAAUAUGAGUACUAAUAAUCUUAAAAACAAUAGAUAGAGAUAAAAAAUCAAGCAUCGAAAUUUAUAGAGGUUCAGCCCUUCCUUUAGGGACCUAUAUCUUCUCCCUUAGCCUCACUUACCAGGGAGUUCAAUCCACUAUGUGUUGAAAGUUACAACCUAGCUCUUCAAAGCUCUGCACAAUUAACAACACAAUCUUUUAAGGGUUGUCCUCCUUCUUAAGCUUAUAACCUCACAUUACAAGUUUUUAAAGUAUUUUACAAACUCAAAGAAUCUCUCUAAGGUUGGGAUGUUUGCUAAUUUGAAGAACAAAUCAAGAUUAGAAAGAAUAUCAAGAAAAAAUCUGAUACAAUAAGAGUUUUUGCACUUUUUUCAUACUAAAAGGCUUUUUAAUGCUUGGUGAAAAUGGUAGAUGAAAGCAAUAAGUUUUCUUGGCUCUUGGUUGCUUCAAAUAUGGUGAGAGAUCUUCAUUUAUAUGGUGAGAAUGGAAGAUAGUCGUUGCUUGCAUUAAUUGUUUAGAGCCUCUUCAAAUUUUCAAACAAAAAUAAUUGUUGCAAGCAUUUUAGGCACGAGGGGAUCAAUCCUCUCUUAUGGGGGGAUCGAUUGGUUCAGUUAAAAUUCAAACAAUUUUAUGCAUGAAAAGGCACAACCAAUCGAUCCCUUUUUCAUGUGAUCAAUCCCUUAAUUUGGGUGAUCGAUCAUUUCUCAAAUUCAAAAAAAAAAAUUUCAUUCUUUGUAAAAAAACUAAUGGAUCUCUUCAUGAGGGGAUCGAUCCUGUCUUUAAAACCCUUAAAACAAUCAAUCCAUACAAGGAGGGGAUCAAUUGGUUUUCAUGAAAUUUGCAUGAAAAACCCUUUUGGCUAAAAAAUUCAAUCGAUCUCUUUGAGGGGAGAUUGAUCCUUUAUGUGCUACUUUGCUCAAUCUUAUUUUUAAAUCAUGCUAGAUGAAUGUGAACAUAUUUUUGACUAGAUUAAAAGCUAAAAAAGUAUUCAAAUUAAGUUCAAAUCAUUUUAAUUCAAUUUUAGCAAAUUUUUGUUCUGUCAUUUCAAAAUGUUUUAACAAUUCAAAGCUAACAAUGUCCUAUUUAGGAUUUUCUAACACAAAGGAAGACAUUGCACUAACCUAAGUUCGGACCCUUAGGGUUUAUUUACAUGUUAGGUUCAAAUAUUUGAUAAUCUAAAGGUUCCUAAAUUAUUUCUUAUAUCAUUAUCCUUUAUAGACUGUAGGGCAUCUCAAUGCUCACAUAUUAGGCUACAAGUAAAAAUGGUUCAAUUUAAGUUAAAAUAUAUUUAACUUACCAAAUAAUUUUAAUAUUGAAAAAUUUUCUUAAAUUACUCCAAUAUUUUGGUAAUAAUUUAAAAAUAUUUUCUCAUUUCAGAAGUAUUCAAAAAGACUAUUUGUUACGUUUUGAAAAAGCUUCAUCAUCUGAUUUCUUUAAUUUUACUUGUGAUAAUAAAUUCUAUAAACAUGAUUUAUUAUUAGAAAUAUCUUUUAAUAUGUUAGUAAGAUUUUUUGUCAAAAAUUAUUUUUUAAUAUGUUAGUAGGAGUUUAUGAAAAUUAUUUUUUAAUUUUUAAAAGAAAAAAAUCAAUUAAAAUAAACUAAAAUUAUCAUGAAAAAUUAUCAUGCAAAUGAUGCAAUAAUAUAAAUAUCAUGCAAUAAUAAUAUAAUCAUGCAAAUACUAAUAAAUAUAUUAAUAAUCAUGCAAUGAUCAUAAUCAUAUAAUAUAUCAUAUAAUAAAAAAAUCAUAUAAUAAUAUAAAAUAUCAUGCAAAAAAGUUUUAAAUUAAAGUUAUUUUCAUCUUUUUUUAAAUUAAUCACACAAUAAUAAAAUAAUAAAAAAUAAAAAAUAAAGGAAAAUAAAAAUAGAAAACAAAAUAAAUAAAGAUCAAACCUACAAGGUCAGGCCGGUUGCAAAUUGUUGCGUGGUUCACUUUCUAUUGGCUUUAAAGCUUUAAUUCUUUUAGCUACCAAAAAUGCUGUUGUUUGGAGCUCAGCAACAAAACACUUUUUCGCGUUGCUGUGUAGCUUCAUCUUUAUCCUUUCUGUAUAGUCAAACUUCCAAACCACUAUCUACCAGGCAAACAAGCCAGCUAAAACCUAAAACCAGCCAAACACUAGAUCUAAAUCCUAGCAGAUUAACACUGUCACCACCGCCUUCUCCUUUUCGUCAUCGAUCGAAACCCAGCUGCAACCCAGUCCUCUGCGAGACCUUGCCACUACUUAGUGUUGUCGUAGCUGACGCCAAAGACCAGAAGAGCAGCCUGGCUCAAUUCCUUUUUUUCCUCUUUCGACCCGAAAUCCAGCAAAAAAAUUUUUGCCCAAUUUUUGUUUCUUUGCAAUUUCUGGCUGUUAAUUGGGUUGUUUGUGAUGCCGAAUUGCUUGAAUGUUCACCUUCUGUUUGAUGAUUGUUUGAUCUUGCUUUUGUUUGUAGGUUGGCUAGAAAUUGAAUUCGGGUUUUCUGAAUUUGUGAAAUUUCUACUUGUGGUCAAUUUCAGUUUGGAGCUACUAGGUAUGGUUUGAAUUUCUGGGUAGGAAUUUCUCGAUUCUCUGGGUUCUGGUUAUCUGGGUUCUUGGGAAUCUGGUUUUUUGGGUUAAUUGAAUUUUAUUGUGUCGAUUGUCUGAGUUGAGGCUCACUGGGGAUUUUGAUUUUGGAGAAGUGUAUGGGCAAAGGUAGAUGAUGAGUGUGACUGGUAGCUGGUCUUCUUGCUUGUCCUCCUUUUGUUACCUCCAAAGACUUUGCUUGAAAUUGCUUCUUUGUCGCUGCUGUUGAUUGCUUCUUUUUUCUUCUAAAUCCCUUUUUGGAUUGCUGUUGACCUUUGUUUUGGCCUCUUCUGGAUUUUUUUUCUGCUUCUAUUGACUAUUUCUUCGAUUUAUUUUUGUCUCUAGCCUUUGUUUGUGACUCUGUUUGCUGGUUUCGGGUUUACUUGUUUUUUCAGUUUUCUUGGAUUUAUUGAUGAACCAAAGCUUCUAAGGUUUGAGGAUAGGUUUGUUUCAUGGAUUUUCUGUGUAUCCUUUUCCACUGUCCUACCGAUUGCCUUUCUGUUUAUAGGAAUUGAAUCCCAUUUAAUUUGGAAAGAAAAAUUACCCGAAUAAAUGUGAUUUGAUUUUUGUUGAUUUGAUUUUGCAUGAAUUAACCCCAGAAUCAUCAAAUUAUGAAUUCCCAAAUUUGGUCCAAGAUUUGUAUCCGUAAGUUUCUUUUUCACAAUAAUCCCAUUUUUUCUCUGAUUUCCUUUUUUUGCUUUUUUUUUUUUUUUGAACUUUUGACCUAUUGAAAAAAAAAAGUAACAGGAAGUCGAAAAUAAAAUCAAAUUAAAAAAUUCUUAUUGGGUUCAAAGUUUCACAAUUAGGCUUAAUUUAUGGCCAAAAACACGUUUUGAUUCUAAUAAAUCAUAAUUUAAUAAUAAAUUAAUAUUUAGUAAUAAAUUACUAAAAAUAUAAUAGUAAAUUAUUAAUAAUAUAAUCAUAAAUCAAUAAGAAUUUAAUAGUAAUUUAGCUAUCCAUUAAUAAUUUUUUAGUAAAUUAUUAAUAAAUUAGUAGUAAUUCAGUUAAAAAUUUAUAAUAAAUUUUUAAUAAAUU